UAUUUUUUAAGUAUGAAGACAUAUGGGCCUCUAAUAUCUAUGUGGAUUUGGGAACACAAUUAAUAUUUAAAAUAAUUUGCACUAAAACAAUUAUUAUUGUCCAUUAUUAUAUAAAUCAACUAAUUUAAUUAAGGGAGCAUUAUUAUUAUUAUUAUUAUUAUUAUUAUUAUUAUUAUUAUUUUACCCAUUCAUUUGAGUUCAUGGAUGUUCAUGGCAUAAUUCUGUAUCACAUGUGAGUUGAAGUGGAAUUGUUUUUAUAAUGCAUUUGUAGGGCUCUUCUUUGAAACAUUACUAUGAGCACUUGCUUUAGUUGAGCUUAAUUAUAAUAUUUUUUUAAGCUUAAAAUUAAAUAUUUGUGCAUAGCAACUUGUUUAAGUUGAGUUUUACAUUAUAUUUGUGCUUGAUUCAACUUGCAAAAUAACUAAGUUACAUUAAUAAGUUUAAUAUAAGACUUUUAUUCAUAAAGAGGAUAUGAGUUUUGAAUUCUCAAAAAUUUGAGAAAUUUGAAGAUGUUAUGAGAAUCGUAAAUUUCUGUCACGUCAGAUUUUUGUAGUGAGCUAAACAUACAAAUUCUCCAUUCCUAAUUUGUAUUCCUAAAAAUCUUAUUAAGAAAUAUUGUAAAUCAAAUAGAUUAAUUAUUUAUUGAUUUUGUUAUGGGAUAAUAAAUUCUCAAGUGAGGUAUUUAUGUCAUAAUGGAAUUUAUUUAUUACUUAUCAAUCUAGUUUAGUAAUUCCUUUUUCCUGUUUUGAAAUUUUAUUCUCAAAAGUAAAUCAAAUAAUUCAAUUGAAAAUAUUAAUUGGGAUGAAAAAUUGCAUCUAACCCUCCAUUAUAAAUAUUUGAAUUUAAAAAAAAAGAAAAAAAAAUUUUACUAAAUUUGAGCCGAAUGAAUCUUUUUAUCAAACCCUGCAAAAUAUUCCACCCUAGUUUGAAACUGUGACUUUUUUCAGAAUAAGUCAUUAAACCUUGGAUUAAAUGAGGAAGAGGAAAAAGAAGAAGAGCAAAAUUAUCAAUUUACCUUAUUAAUUAAUCAUGAUCAAGUAUUUUAACUGUGGCUAACUAAAUUUUUCUACUGAAUACUAAUGGCAGGGACAUAUCUGAAUACAUUAAGGACUUUUGCAGGAAUAACUUAUAAAAGUUGAACUUUGCAGGAAUAUAUCUGCAAUUCACCAUAUUUGCGAGGACCUGUAUGAAAUUAAUCCUAUUAUAUAUAUAUAUAUAUAUAUAUAUAUAUAUAUAUAUAUAUAUAUAUAUAAAAGAGGGAGAGAAGUCAAUGGUCCACCGUGGACUCCCUCUCAUGCGGUCCACGAGGUGAAGUGGACCUUAUGGACUGGGCGUUUCCUGCCCCCAAGCCGCGUGCUUUGCUGAUGGGUUUUCGUCUUUCGCUCGUUUUGAGUGGAAAACAAGAACCCAAUUUUUCUUAGGAUAUGUAAAAAAAAAAAAAUUCAAAUUUUCUUCUUUAACAGACAACAAACAUCGGAAAAUUAUUUUUCGCUGAAAAAAAAAAAAUUCGGGUCAGCUUUCCACUGAACCAAACACACUCCAAACAAUCCAUCAAAAACAUCAUCCAUUAUUUUCUAAAUAUAUACUAUUUUCCCCCCUAAUAUCAAUUUAACAAAGUAUAAAAAUUAAAAGUUAUUUAGAUGAAUAGUUUUAAAUUUUGAACUGUAUACUAACUCAACUCUACUUUUCAGAAUUUUCGAUUAAAUAUUAAAACUACUAUGUUUAAUCAAAAUUUGCAGUGAGCUUUUUAGAAUUAUUUAUCUCAAUAAAUACUGAAAGUUAAAAAAAUAAUUUUUAUAAUGCAUAAAAGACUAUAUGAAUUUUUUUGGCAUUUUUUAUUAUAGCUUUUAAAUUUUAAAUUUUUAAUAAUUAUAUAUGUUAAUUGAUUAAAAUACUAUCGAUCUGCCGUGAAGUGUGGGAUCUCCACUAGUUUAUGAUAAUUUAUGAGGUUUGAGAAUGUAUUGAUGAUAUUUCAAAGUUUUGAAAGAUAAUCUAUAAUAUUUUUAAAAUUUACAAGGCUAGUCGAUCAUGAAAUUGCCCCUUUUUUAAAGCAAAUUGUCAUUUACGACUUGAAGGGAUGCAAUAUAAACUAACCCACACUACAAUAAAAAUGGUGUAUAACAACACUUUUAAAUAUCGGUACAUGUCAAAAAAAGUACUGCUGGCUAAAUUACCAAUACUUUUAAAAAGUAUUGCUAUAUGUAGGGUCGCUAGGUAUAUAGCGACAGUUUAAAAGUGUCGGUAUAACAUAAAAUGAGUGCUGCUAAUUUACUAACACUUAUUUAAGCAUUUAACAACAGCCGGAACUCUACCUCGUUGGCUGCGAUGGCGGAGGAGGAGGAAAGCGAAGGACUUUUCAUCUAGAAUUUCAGUAGAUUGAGUGAGGAGAGAAGGGAAGGUGAUGAUCGAUUUUUUUUUUCCUUUCCUGUUUAUAAGCGGGCCGAAUGGGUUGGGUGAGGUGGGUUGAGUAGAGUAACCUUUUAUUUUUUAUUGGAUUGGGCUUUAUAUUUAAGCCUUGAUAGAUUUUUUUUUUAAGUUUUGGCAUAAACGGAACACUUACAUAAAAAUGUCUCAAACAUAUGUUCCUACAGUCUAAUUCUGUUGUAGUGCCAAUUAUAGCAAAAGAAAGAAAAUUAUUUUUNAUAUAUAUAUAUAUUUGAAUCAACUAAAAUCUCAUUAAAAAUAUUUAAAACAAACAUAAAUCACCAAACCAAAACUCUAACUUUUAUAAAUUUUUAAUUCAAAGUAUGUUUACUAAGUACAAACAAGAGAAGUGAAUGGAAACUCACAUUUUAACUAAAGUAUAUAUAUCAGGCUUAAAUAAUCUAAAUACAAAAUAAUGUCUCUGUCAACUAAAUUAGCUCUAAAUCUUUGGUAAUAUCAAACCCUUAUGUAUAUAUAUAUAAUUUUUUAAGGGUAAAUUUCAAAUACCACCCUGUAGUUUCGCACAUUUUCACUUUAGUACCAUACGGUUUAAAAUUUUUUAUUUUCGUCGGCGUCUUCGUUAACUCUUCGUUAAAUUAUAUACAAAAAACUUCAAAUACCCCCCUAUUGUUUAUCGAAUAUUCAGUAUUAUGUAGUUUAUCGAAUUUUUAACUUUGUCACUGGUUUAACGAAAAAUUAAUAAAGGGAAAAAUAGAAAGAGAAAAAUAAAACCCAAAGAUAUAAAAAUAAUAUAUUUUAAAUCACAGAAUAAUAAAAUGAGAAAGCGUGAAAUGGUGUUUGAAGUUUUUUUCUUUUAUUAAUCUAAAAACCCUAGCUUAUAUACCAAAAAUUCUCCAUGUAUAGUAGUACCACAUCAAAUGCUAUACAAUUUUUUUUGGGUUUCUUUCAUACAGGUCCCUGCAAACAUGUUGAAUAGCAGAUAUAUCCCUGUAAAGUUCAACUUUCAUAAGUUAUUCCUGCAAAAAUCCUAAUGUAUUAAGCCGUUAGAGAAAUCUAGUUAACGACAGUUAAAAUCCUUAACCAUAGUUUGUUAAUAAGGUAGAAUGACUUUUUUACCCUUCUUCCUCUUUUCCUUUCUCUUUUUCUUCCUCUUCCUCUCCUGCUUCUUCUUCUUUCUCUUCUUCUUUGUAUCCCCAUUUCCCUCCUCCUUUUCUCCUCCUCUUUCUUCUUCGUCGUCGUCGUUGAUGAUCCGAUUGUCGUUGCCGUUGUGGUGCCCACGUGGGCCGUGGUCACGGGCGCCUCCGACGGCAUCGGCGGCGCCUUCGCCUUCCACCUCUUUCUUAUCCUCGUUGGCCGCAACCCCGACAAGCUCCGCAAGGUCGCCGUCCGCUCCCACAACAUGAAGAGGAAGAGGAAGAUGAAGAGGGCAAGGGCAAAAUAGUCAUUUCAUAACUCUAUUAUUAAAAAAUUAAUAGUUCUCUAACAUAUCCAAACUAGAUGGACAUAUUUGAAUAUAUUAGGACUUUUGUAGGAAUAAUUUAUGAAAGUUGAACUUUGUAGGAACAUAUCUACUAUUCAACAUGUUUACAGGAUCUGUAUGAAGUUAACCUUUUUUUUUUUUUUUUUUUUUAGAGAGAUAUCAAAUGCUACACAUUGAAACUCACUACAAGAGAGAGGACUCGAAUAGUACUAACCCUUCUCUCUCCUCUCUCUCUCUCUCUCUCUCUCUCUCUCUCUCUAAGAAGCCAUGGACUGAUGAUCUAGUACUCUCCUCUCCUCAAUUUGGUGCGUACAACACAGCCCAGGAACAUCUCUACCCUAACCUAGAGAGGAGAGAGAGAGAGAGAGGGGGGAGAGGAGAGAGAGAGAGUUUUGUAAAACCUAGAGAGAGAGAGAGUGUGGAGAGAGAAGAGGAGGAGGCUAUAGGAGAACCACCAUUUUGUUCUUUUCCCCUUCACAAACCACUCUCUCCCAAACCCAAAAAGCUCUCACCUUUGGUUGUGUAACCCACCAAUCUCUCUCUCUCUCCCCUCCUCCUCCUCCCUUUUGAUGCUUCGGAUCUGAGGAGAUCGCCCAUUGGAGGCGAAGCCAUGGUGCGGCGCCAUGGGUGGCAGCUCCCUGCUCACACCUUUCAGGUUCCUUCCUACUCUCUUUCUCUCUUGAUCUCUCUCUCUCUCUCUCUCUCUGUCCCGUGUCCUAAUCUUGUGAAUGUUGCUGGGUUUCUUUCUGAUUUGUUGUAUUGUACUUGUUUUUGUUGCUUGUAGACGAGACAUGGCUUCAGGAAAAGCCCUAAUUUUUACCCUACUAGACGUAAAAUUGUCACUUGGGUGAUAACAAAUUGAACCAUUUACUCCCUCUUUCGCUCUAAUUUCUCUCUCUAUUUUGUUUCCUAAUCUUGUGAAUGUUGUUGGGUUCCUUUNUGCCAUGUGAUCUUUAGCUAUUUAAACUAUAUUUUAUCUAUUUUAAUAUUCUCAUAAUUAAUUCCUUGGGAACUUGUUAAGUUUGCAAAAUAAUUCUAUUUUUGGUUACUAUCUAAAUCCAUAUUUAAUUAGCUUUUUAGAUUCAAAAGCAGGCCUUCUAAUUUAAACUUUUAUUUUUGUUGUAAAUUAUUUGAGAGAAUUUAAAUGAAUAAAUAAAUAUAUAUAUAUGUUUUGAGAAAAGUUUUAAUGAAAAAAAUAUUAAUGCUUAUUGAUAUAGCUUUAUUUAAAAACACAUAUCCAAAAAGAAAACAAAAAUUAUGCUUCUUAAAUUGAAGAAAAAUCCUACAAAUAUAUAUAUAUAUAUAUAUAUUUUGAAUCAACUAAAAUCUCAUUAAAAAUAUUUAAAACAAACAUAAAUCACCAAAUCAAAACUCUUAACUUUUAGAAAUUUUUAAUUCAAAGUAUGUUUACUAAGUACAAACAAGAGAAGUGAAUGGAAACUCACAUUUUAACUAAAGUAUAUAUAUCAGGCUUAAAUAAUCUAAAUAGAAAAUAAUGUCUCUGUCAACUAAAUUAGCACUAAAUCUUUGGUAAUAUCAAACCCUUAUGUAUAUAUAUAUGUAUAAUUUUUUAAGGGUAAAUUUCAAAUACCACCCCGUAGUUUCGCACAUUUUCACUUUAGUACCAUAUGGUUUAAAAUUUUCCAUUUUCGUCGGCGUCUUCGUUAACUCUUCGCUAAAUCAUAUACAAAAAACUUCAAAUGCCCACCUAUAGUUUAUCGAAUAUUCACUUUAGUAUCAUGUAGUUUAUCGAAUUUUUAACUUUGCCACUGAUUUAACGAAAAAAUUAAUAAAGGGAAAAAUAGAAAGAGAAAAAUAAAACCAAAAGAUAUAAAAAUAAUAUAUUUUAAAUCACAUAGUAAUAAGAUGAGAAAGCGUGUUUGAAGUUUUUUUCUUUUAUUAAUCUAAAAACCCUAGCUUAUAUACCAAAAAUUCUCCAUGUAUAGUAGUACCACAUCAAAUGCUAUACAUUUUUUUUGGGUUUCUUUCAUACAAGUCCCUGCAAACAUGUUGAAUAGCAGAUAUAUCCCUGCAAAGUUCAACUUUCAUAAGUUAUCCCUGCAAAAAUCCUAAUAUAUUCAGAUAUGUCCCUACCGUUAAUACCCGUUAGAGAAAUCUAGCUAACGACAGUUAAAAUCCUUAACCAUAGUUAGUUAAUAAGGUAGAAUGACUUUUUUACCCUUCUUCCUCUUUUCCUUUCUCUUUUUCUUCCUCUUCCUCUCCUGCUUCUUCUUCUUCCUCUUCUUCUUUGCAUCCUCAUUUUCCUCCUCCUUUUCUCCUCCUCUUUCUUCGUCGUCGUCGUCAUUGAUGAUCCAAUUGUCGUCACCGUUGUGGUGCCCACGUGGGCCGUGGUCACGGGCGCCUCCGACGGCAUCGGCGGCGCCUUCGCCUUCCGCCUCUUUCUUGUCCUCGUUGGCCGCAACCCCGACAAGCUCCGCAAGGUCGCCGUCGCCAUCCGCUCCCACAACAUGAAGAGGAAGAGGAAGAUGAAGAAGACAAGGGCAAAAUAGUCAUUUCAUAACUCUAUUAUUAAAAAAUUAAUAGUUCUCUAACAUAUCCAAACUAGAUGGGCAUAUUUGAAUAUAUUAGGGCUUUUGUAGGAAUAAUUUAUGAAAGUUGAACUUUGCAAAAAUGUAUCUACUAUUCAACAUAUUUGCAGGGACCUGUAUGAAAUUAACUUUUUUUUUCUUUUUUUAAGAGAGAUAUCAAAUGCUACACAUUGAAACUCACUACAAGAGAGAGGACUAGAAUAGUACUAACCCUUCUCUCUCCUCUCUCUCUCUCUCUCUCUCUCUAAGAAGCCAUGGACUGAUGAUCUAGUACUCUCCUCUCCUCAAUUUGGUGCGUACAACACAGCCCAGGAACAUCUCAACCCUAACCUAGAGAGGAGAGAGAGAGAGAGAGAGAGAGGGGGGAGAGGAGAGAGAGAGAGUUUUGUAAAACCUAGAGAGAGAGAGAGUGUGGAGAGAGAAGAGGAGGAGGCUAUAGGAGAACCACCAUUUUGUUCUUUUCCCCUUCACAAACCACUCUCUCCCAAACCCAAAAAGCUCUGACCUUUGGUUGUGUAACCCACCAAUCUCUCUCUCUCUCCCCUCCUCCUCCUCCCUUUUGAUGCUUCGGAUCUGAGGAAAUCGCCCAUUGGAGGCGAAGCCAUGGUGCGGCGCCAUGGGUGGCAGCUCCCUGCUCACACCUUUCAGGUUCCUUCCUACUCUCUUUCUCUCUCUCUCUCUCUCUCUCUCUCUCUCUCUCUCUCUCUCUGUCCCGUGUCCUAAUCUUGUGAAUGUUGCUGGGUUUCUUUCUGAUUUGUUGUAUUGUACUUGUUUUUGUUGCUUGUAGACGAGACAUGGCUUCAGGAAAAGCCCUAAUUUUUACCCUACUAGACGUAAAAUUGUCACUUAGGUGAUAACAAAUUGAACCAUUUACUCCCUCUUUCGCUCUGGUUUCUCUCUCUAUUUUGUUUCCUAAUCUUGUGAAUGUUGUUGGGUUCCUUUUUGUUUUGUUGUAUUUUACUUGAUGAGAAUUGGCUUCAGAAAAAAGCCCUAAUUUUUACCCCACUAUAUGUAAAUUUAUCACUUGGGUGAUAACAAAAUGACCCAUUUGCUCUUUCUCUCUCUAGUUUCUCUCUAUUUUGUCUCUUAAUCUUGUGAAUGUUGUUGUGUUCCUUUUUGAUUUGUUGUAUUUUACUUGUCUUUGGUACUUGUAGAUGAGAAACGGCUCCAGAAAAAGCCUAAUUUUUGACCCAUGUACUCUCUCUCUCUUAUUUCUCUUUUUGUAUCUUUUUCUCUCUUCUGUUCUACUCUUGGGAAUGGUGGGUUUGUUUUGGCUUUGUUGCAUUGUACUUGGUUUUGUUACUUGUAGAUGAGAAAUGCCUUCAGAAAAAGCCCUAAAUUUUACCCUCGAAUAUGUUUCAGAUAUGUAGAUUUGCCAUUUUGGGUGAUUACAAAAUGACCCAUUUACUCUCUCUUCUCCUAAUCUCGUGAAUGUUAGGUUCCUUUUGAGCUUUGUUAUCUUCGUACUUGUCUUUGUUGCUUUUGGAUGGGAAAUGGCUUAUGAAAAAGCCCUAAUUUUUUCCUCAAGUACGUCUAGGAGACAUCGGUUUGUCAUCAUUUGAUUUCAAGAUGACCCAUUUACUCUUGACUCAGUCUGGAGUCCUAAUCUUGUGAAUGCUGUGGCUUUCUUUUAGUUGUGUUGUAUUGUACUUGUUUUUGUUGCUUGUAGAUUAUAAACUGCUUCUGAAAAAAGCCCUCCUUGGGUGCUUCUCAAUUGACUACAAAAUGACCCCGUAACUCUCUCUCAAUCUCUCUUGUCAUAAUCUUGUGACCUUUGAGUGUCUUUUAGCUUUUGUUAUAUUGUACUUGUUUUUUAGUUACCUGAUGAUAAGAAAUGGCUUCAAAAAAGCCCUCAUUUUUGCCCUUUGAGUACAUGUAGGUGAUAUGGAUUUGGUUUGGGAAUGACCCAUUUAUGUAUUAUGCAGAUUGGGUUUGUCUAUUCCUGGUUUUCGUAGGAUGUGGAUGAGAAUUGGCUUCAGAAUAGCUUUAAUUUUUAGAUUUACUCUUGGGGUUUUAGAACUUUUGUCUUGAAGUCUGUCUGUCUGUCUGUCUCUCUCUCUAGUUUUGAGUUUUUGUAGAAGUUGCAUUGAUCUUUCCUUUGUGUUCUAAUUUGUAGAUCUAAAACGUGAUUGUAUGGACCAUUGUCCAUUGGAUAUAGAAAUGUUAUCAAAAAGGCUUUAGUUCUUAAGUUCUUUUUAAAGUUGGUUUGAACUUUGUGAGUUUACCUUGGACGGCGAAAUAUCUUCAUUGUUUGUUUUUUUUAAGUAUACUAUUUGUUUGUGUGCUCGCACAUCUUGCAGAGCUAAUUUCAUUUCCUUUAUGAGACAUUUCACAAGCUGAGGACUAUUUAGGUGCAUUUCAUUAUUUCAUAGUUGUGAUUUGUCCUUUGGAAAUCUUCUUCAUGAUCUGACACCAACUAGAGGUUAUGAUUUUACCAACUCGAACUUUUGCAAAUAAAUGUACUAUCGUUACUUCUCUUAAAAGGUUAUUCAUAAAAGUAAUGCAAAUAGUGAAUAAAUAACACCCAUGUAACCAUGCAUGCGAGUCAAAAAGAUCCAAGGCGCAUUUUCCAAACUCAAUAAUAUUCUCUCUUUUAACUUCUUCUCUAGUUUCUUAUUUGUGUAAUCUUAUUGAUAUCUACCUGUGAUAUAUUUGUUGGUUUACAUAUUUUAACAUGUGUAGUGUCACAAAGCCUUAUAAUAUAUCUAACAAGGUCAGCAGAAUUUUUAUAUUCUUCAAUUCUUGUUUAUUUUUCUACAUUUUUUUUUUGAUUUGUCGCAUAUUCUUGCUUAUUACCAUGUUUUAUUCAUAUGUUUUAUAUUUACUUUUGUGAUGAUUAACUGGUUUGUAUAUUGUCCAUUAUCAUUUGAUUAUUAGUUUUAUCUUUUCGUUCCUUAAGCAAUUGGGUAGUGAUUUUUCUUUUUUAUGCUUCCUUUCAUCUGACAGGUGGUUGCUAUAACGGUAUAUUUACUUCUCGUUGUUGCGUUUUAUGCCUUCUUUGCCCCCUUUCUGAGAAAGCGUAUCAUCGAAUAUGCUGUGAUGGCUGUUUAUACUCCCGUGGUAUGUGCUUACUUCGUCGAGGGAAUCUUCAAUGUUUUUUAUUGGGUUAAAACUUAAAAGUGUAUGGAGACUCUCUCAACUAUAAUCCCCAAACUUUUUUUUUAAAUUUUCUUGAUCAACAUCCAUAAACUUUUUGCUUGUUUUGAGUUAAUUUUCGUCCAUCAAAUGAAUCGGGAUUCGUUUCAACUUAACAGCGACUAUAUCAAAUUUCUGCUUCCAUUGACAUUCAACUGCUGAUAGCUAAUUGAGUGGUUUAUCUUAACCGGUACCGAUUCAACAGAUGGAAUAAAAGAAAAAACAAGCAAAGUUGAGAAGUUGCCGAUUAAAACAAGAAUAAUGCUAAAGCUGGGGAUUCUACUUCAAUAUGGUCUUUAGCUAAAGGAUCACCAUACAUUUUUUACCUUUUUUAAUUUUCACUUGAGAAACUGAAAUUACUAAUCUAUUUUAUAUCUCUUUUUCCAGGCACUUGCCGUUUUUAUCCUUUAUGUCCGUUGUACACGUAUUAACCCUGCUGAUCCUGGAAUUAUGUCGAAGUUUGACGAUGAACUCAUUAACGUACCCGCAAACAUACCCAAGAGUAAUCCUGGAUUGCAAGCGAUUAAUUUACCGGAUAAGGACGAUACCAUAAGCGGAACAAACUCUCCGUCAAUAACUUGUAGGAGCUCUUUAGAUGGUCGUAAUUCUAGAAAAGAUUCAGCUGUAGGAGAUUUGGUGGUGAAUGUUGAAAACGCCCCCCCGAGAAGAAGAAGUUCGUCGCCGUGUUGGAUCUUCGGAGGUCUUAUUUGCGCAAUAUUUGUUAAGGAGGACUGCCGGAAAGAGGAUGUAGCGGAGGAGCAGGCUGAUGGGGAAGAUGCUUUAUUUUGUACAUUGUGCAAUGCUGAGGUAAUUCACAUCAUCAAAUCUGUUUUUUCUUUUUGGGCUAGGGAGCUAAUGAACAUGUAGGCAUGAUUUCCUUUUUCCUGUUUCUUUCCCUCUUUUCCUCUUCAAUCCUCGCUGUGUGCGUGCGACGCAUGUGUACAUAUCUUAAGGGUCAAAUACUUUCCUUGAGCCUUGAGGGUUUCUCCAUUCUUUUUUUUUUGUUAUUUCGAUUUCCAAAUCUGUGAUCCUUUUGCCUGUUCAAUGAAAAGCUGCAUUUAGACGUAUUCUCAUUUCUGUCAACUCAAAACCAUUUCAUUUUUUAUUCGCCUCGCAUAUGUUUAAAGCUGAAUUUUGCUUUAGCUUCCGAUAUAAUGAAUAUGUGUAGGCAUCUUACUGAUAUAUAUAGUUUCAUUUUAUAUUCUUUUUUUGUUACUAGUAGUUAUUUAUCUUGUCAAUUUGCAGGUUCGCAAGUUCAGUAAACAUUGCAGAAGCUGUGACAAAUGUGUGGAUGGAUUCGACCAUCACUGUCGGGUAUAUAUAUAUGUUUUAAUUUUAAUAAAAAGCUCAAUUCUAUUCUUAGACCAUUGUCCAAUUUUCAUCGUCGAGGUUAAUGUUUUGUGGCAGUGGCUUAAUAAUUGCGUGGGGAGGAGGAAUUACAUAACUUUUAUCGCUCUCAUGGCCACUAGUCUCGUCUGGGUUUGUAUCAUUAAACCAUGUCAAUUUUCAUAAUCAUUUUCGUUAGUUUCGACUAAAGAGAUAUUUACAUAAAUAUACCCAUGCAAAAUUAUCUGUUUACGCAUAUACCUCCUUAAAAAUGUAUUUUUUGUUGAAGAGGCAUAUUAAAGAAGGGCAUAUGUGAACAAUUCGGAUAUUGCAGCUCAGGGGCGUGUACAUAAAUGCCUCUAACUUUUGCUACCACUUAAUCGAAUAAUGAGUCGAACAUAGUUCUAAUACUCGCAUUUAAAAAUAUGUGCCAGCUUUUGAUUGAAUUCGGAGUGGGUAUAGCUGUUAUUGUGCUGUGCUUCGUCGAUAAGAAGGCUAUGGAGAGUACUAUCGAGGAUAAGCUCGGGAAUGGCUUUUCUCGCGCUCCGUUCGCAACUGUCGUGGUAUGCUUGAAAUAUUGCCUUCUUUCACUUAAAUAAAUUACCGUAUAUUCCAAAUUACUUUUGUUGAUUUUGUUACUUCGAUGGUUCAAAGUGGGUUUUGCAUGAACGAUUCACUUUUUCUUAAUGUCAGAAUAGAUAUCAACCGUGGAUGUUCUCGUACAUGAAAAGUUAUUUUGACCCGAUUACUAGAAGUUGCAAAAACUGUAAAACACGGACCGAAAGUUCAAAACCGUAAAGAAGUGGGCUAAUUUUCUGAAAAUUUUUCCUUUGUUGCAGGCUAUAUGUACUGCGGUUUCGUUACUGGCUUGUUUUCCGUUAGGCGAGCUCUUCUUCUUCCACAUGAUAUUGAUGAGAAAGGUUUGUUCCGAAGAGAGCUCAAACUAAAAUGUUGUUCAUAAUAAACAAAGAUUUUUGUGUUUUUUUCUUUACGAAAUUUUACAUCUUUCUUCUUCAAUUUUCAAUUUUUUUCUUUUUUAAAUAAAUCUUAGGGAAUUACAACCUACGAGUAUGUGGUGGCGAUGAGAGCGAUGAGCGAGGCACCUCCAGGGUCUCAAGCCGAGGAAGAAGGGCAAAAUGUGCUCUACUCUCCGACUAAUUCCGCGACGACCGGGUUAAGCGGCGGAAGUUCGCUUGGGCUUCAAUACAAAGGUGUUUGGUGCACACCCCCUCGGGUUUUUGUCGACCAACAGGUAAAGGACCGUAUUUUUUCUUUAUCUUUUCCUUUUUUUUUCUCACAAUUUGCGCGAAAAUAUCCUUGCAUGGACUAUAAUGCCUCUGAGUGGAGCUAAAGAGUAGUUUUAAAUUCAUUGAGAGUGAUUUUAGCCUAAAGUAAUGAAAGGGGGGGUGGGGGAACAUGGAUUAAAGAUCAAAAUCGUAGAAAAUAUGGAUUUUUUUUUUCAAAAAUCCCCUAAUAUUUGUUCUCCUUUCAAAAAUCCCCUAAUAUUUGUUCUCCUUUCAAAAUCCCCUCGACUUUUGGUGUAGCUUCUCUGCUCGAAAAGUAGUGGCCAGGGGUUUGAGAAACAGAAAGUUUGCAGUUUCGAGGUGUGGUGGGAAGUUAAAUGAGUUUUUUGAGCUCCAAAAGCAGAAGCUCGAAUUUGAAUAUCCUACUUGUAGCUGUAGUAGGAAGUCGUUGAAUAGGUUUCAAUGGAAAAAGCUUUAGAGCUUCUUUGAACAGCUUUACUCAAACAGCAGUUCUGUAGCGCCAAACGAGCUCCUUGAGAGAAAAUAGCUCGAAUUUGAAUCUCCUACUUGUAGCUGUAGUAGGAAGUCGUUGAAUAGGUUUCAAUGGAAAAAGCUUUAGAGCUUCUUUGAACAGCUUUACUCAAACAGCAGUUCUGUAGCGCCAAACGAGCUCCUUGAGAGAAAAUUUUGUGCUCUAUAUCGUUGGCUGGAAAUUCAUUACACAAAACACAGCUGCUCUCUAACUUGGACCCAUUUUUUGGAUAAAUUUUUGACAGGAUGAAGUUAUCCCGCAUUUGGAACCUGGAAUGGUGCCUUCGACCAUCGAUCCUGAUGCCGCUGGGUAUUUAGAGAGAGCCAACAAGUCCAAGAAACCCGUCAAAAUCAGCGCAUGGAAGCUCGCGAAGCUCGACUCAAACGAGGCCAUCCGUGCCGCCGCCAAAGCCCGGGCCUCCUCCUCCGUCCUCCGACCCAUCGACCCCCGCAGCCGCGGGCACGAUCCUGAGAAAUACAGCUCGAGCGGCCGAAGCAGCAUGAGCAUCGAGUACAGCGCGACGAAGGACUCAAGGAGCGAGCUGAAGCUCUCCCCUCCGCAAAACUCCUACCCGCCGAGCGUUACCAGUAGGGACGACUACGAGAGUGGGACGCAGACCGCAAGCAGCUUGAGCAGCCCGGUCCGAAUCCCUGAGCCCCCGCUUGCUCGGGCCCCACUUCCCGCUGCCCGAGCCCCGCUCGCUCUCCCGCGACCGGUCGCCAAUCGGCCGCCGCCGCCGCCACCGCCGCCGACUGCUCAAGCAGCCAACCCGAUGUUUCAUCCUACUGCGACAGCUCUAGUUCGGGAUAAUCGGAGAGCUUCUGUCGUCUGGGAUCAAGAAGCCGGCCGUUACGUUUCGGUGGCCGCCCCCGCGGCUUCUCGCCCGAUUCGGGCUUCUCAACUUACUACAGGAAACCCUAGCGGAGAGACCGCUAAUUACGGAAGGAGGAACAAUCCCGCCGCCUCCGCCGCCGCUGCUUCCUCGUUAGGGUUGGGGUUCCCACUCGCGCAGCAGCAGGAGCGGCUGAUGUACACUGGGCAGUCGAUAUUCUUCGGCGGGCCGCUUCUGAAUGCUCCGACGGGAGAGAGGGAUUCAAACGCCCGGCGCGACUCAUUCCCCGUAUUCAUUCCCGGAACUUACCCGAAGAACCCUCCAUCUAACUCCAAGUGAUCUCUCUUCGUCCUCUUCUAAGUGCUUUUGUCAGAAGCAUCACAGUGCUUCUGCUGCAUGGGAUCAAAGGCUUGUGAACCGAAAUGCCAAGUGCGAGAUGAGACCCGCUUCUGGAGUUGGGAAAAGCACUUCUGCAGCUGUGAGGCGCGGCGAUCUUUGCUUCUUCGGCGGCUGUUCAGAGAUUUUAAACUCUCUCUUAGAGGAUGAAAUUGUAGUUUCAGUCGACAACAUUUUCGCUUCGUUCCGAUGUAAAUCUUUUCCUUUCGCACGACCGGUUAUACUGAUCAAAUUUAAUUUAGUUACCGUCUUAUCGAGAGAUUUAACUUUUUUUUUGUUUUUGUUUAACCUUGUUAAUUUCUCUUUGAAGUGUUGAGGUUAACAAAUUUAGUAAUUUUUAUUCAGAUGUUGUUGCUUAACAGGUGCAGGUAAAGCCAGAAAAUAAGGUGGUAAUAAAAUGGGGGCUAAUUACACUUUUGUCCUUGAAUUUGGAGGUUCCUGACACUUUGAUCUUUUAAGUUUUAAUUUGUGAUAAUUUUGGGCUUGAAUUUUUAUUGAUUGUUGCAAUUAAGUUCUACAAUUUCAUUAAGUUGAUCGAACGAUGAUGUGUCGCUGAUGUGCCAGUGCUGUCGAUGACGUGAUAAUAACUAAGAUGUUAUAUUAUUAGUAUAUCUGCGACACAUUAGUAUUUAAUCAACUUAAUUAGAUUGUGAGAUUCGUAAAAAUCUGUAUAAUUUGAGAUUAGAAAUUUUUUCAAAUUAAAAUUUGAGAAUAAAAGUGUCACACGCUCCCAAAUUUGAGGACCAAAAAUAUAUAUAUAAUUUAGCCCAAAAUGGGAUAUAAGUUGAAGUGUUGUUACAAUAUUCUGCAAAUUUUGAAAAUUUUAUUAACUUUUUAUGAACUAAAAUAUUCACUAUUAUAUUAUAUAAUAUAUAUUUUUAUCUUUUAUCAUUAGUAAGGCAAAUGAUGGAGGAUAAAAUAAAAUGAUUACACAUGAAUUAUAGAGUUAGGCUGGUAUACUAUCGGUAGCAUGGAGGCUUCCGUGCUACCAAGUUGUUUUUAAUAAUGCAGCUUCCAAAUCGACGGUCGGCUUCGUUAGAUUUGAUCUACACUAUUAAAAGUAUUUGAAAAUUAAAUUUUAUAAUUUUUCAACAUCGUUUGGCUAGUGAUCAAAAUGUCUCAAUAUUGACAAUUUGAAUGGUUGAUGUGAUGCACUUGUGAAUUUAACGGUAUAAAACAAUUCAAAUCUGAUGAAAUUUUUAUAGAAAAUUAUUUUAACUAUUUAGAGUAAGAUCAGCACCUUUGAUUUUAAAUUCAAGUAUUUUUUCAUCAUUUUUUAUGAGAUUUUUAUUUUCAGCCGUUCAUUUUUAGAUUACUCGUUUGAUAGGUAAAUGAUGUUGAAAAAUUAUAAAAUUUAGUUCCAAAUACUUUUAAUAGUGUAGUUCAAGUCUAACAGAGCCGAUCGUCGAUUUGGAAGACGCAUCAUCGAAAACAAUUUGAUAGCACAGAGGCCUCCGUGCUACUGAUAGUAUAUCCGCGUAGCUCUGAAUUAUAUAUUUUUUCUAUAUUAUUUUGAGCUAUAAGCAGUGGCUAUUAUUUCUGAUUUUAUUUUGUCAGAGGAAUCUAUCCACUAUUUGACAGGUUCCCUAAUUCCUUGGAAAGUGGUAUUAGUAUAUCUAUUUUCAAAAAGAAGCAAAUUAUUUAAAUGUUAUUAAAUUUGUUUGAAUUUAAUCAGUGAAUAAUAAGAAUAUAUUUGAUAUAUUUAUUUCUGGGUAUCAAUUCUUUGUUGGAAAAUUAUUUCUUAGCAAUAAUUUUACUGUUAAAAAAAAUUUCAAUUGUGAACAGUAACUAGUGACCAGGUUCAUUGUAUCUUCAAGCAUUCCAAAACCAACCCUAAUGUUGAUUUACAAAUUAUGAUGCAGCUAAGAGAACAGUUAUAAGUUAAAAUUUUUUAUUUUUUUAUUUUUAAGAUUAUUAUUAUUUUGUUAAUUUAUUUUAGGGUUAUUUUUUAAUAUUUCUUUAGGUAAUUUUUUAUAUGGAAUGAGUUUCUAAAAAUUAGGGGAUAUAGAUUUAGAGGUUUUAAAUUAGAUUUAAAUAUAUUUGUACUAGAAAAUUUAUUAGAAUUAAGUUAUCUGAUUAGGAAUAGUAUUAUGAUAUGAUUUAUUAUAGAUAGGCUUGAUAUUUAUUGUAAAAAGAAAGUUUUGGUAUUUAUUGGUAUUUUCAGCCUACAUCAAAGUGACAAAAAGUUUAAUAUUUGAUAUCCGAGACCCCAAAUUUAAACUGUGAUUGUUUUGCAUUUUAGACUCAAUUCAUUUUAAAAAUUGAACAAAGCGAUGGCAUAUUACCACUCUCUCAAAAACAAUAAUAUCUCAACCAAUGGAAAUUUUUUUUUUUAAAAAGUUAGCAUACAAUUAUUAUAGUGUAUAUAUAUAUAUAUAUAUACUAUUAUUAUGUUCCAACAUUUAUAUAGUAUAAUAUUUAGAGUGAGGCUACUAUCCUUCUGGAAGCACGGAGCCUUCCGUGCUUUCAGGUUGUUUUCGAUGUUGCGACUUUCAAAUCGUCGAUUGACUCCGUUAAAUUUAAUUUAGAGUAUUUGAAAUACCUAGAAAAUAAAUUAUGCGAUUUUUGAAUAUUAUUUGCUUAGCGAACGAAGGGGCUCAAAAUCAACGGCUGAAAAUAAAAAUCUUACAAAACUUGAUAAUAUGACAUUAAAAUUUUAGAUCAAAGAUAUUGAUCUUAUUUUAUAUAGUAUAAAGAAUUUUUUAUCAAAAUUUUACAUGAUUUGAAUAUUUCUACACCGUUAAACUCGCAAACGGCUCACUACGGUCAUUAAAAUUAUUUAUUUUGAGCCCCUUCGAUCACUGGGCAAAUGGUAUCGAAAAAUUAUAAAAUUUAUUUUCUAGAUACUUCAAAUACGCUAGAUCAAGUUUAACGGAGCCGAUCGACGAUUCGAAAGUCGCAACAUAAAAAAUGAUCUGAAAAUACAGAAGGUUCCGUGCUUCCAAAAGUAUAGUAACCUCAGUCUAAUAUUUAUAUUUAUUUAUUUAUUUUAUAUAUACCCAAUUAGGUGGAGUUUUCCUUAAAAAACAUCUCUUUCCAUUCCUCUUUUACUUUAAUCCUGACUCACUCACUCUCUCUCUCUCUCUCUCUCUCUCUCUCUCUCUUCAUCUACGUUUCUCCUCUCCUUCUCUAAAGGAACCAAAAAGAUUUUUUUAAUUAAUUUUUGUAUUUUUAAUACCGCUUGAAGAUGCUAACCAGGGCCUCCAUGAAGGUUUCAUUUCCAUCUCUUGUCUUUUUUUUUCAAAUUUUUUUUUUCUGUAUAAAAUGAAGUAGUUUUUUGAACCCAUUUUGGGCCACCACGCAUAUGAUGAUGAAAUUUUUAUGGUGUUGAUUGUAUUUGGGGCGUUAAACAAUUUGAUUACAUUUUCCAUCUUAUUUUAGUUCACAGGUGUAUUCUAUUUACCCAAAAUGAGUUUUUUUUUUUUUUUUUUUUUUUUUGCCUUUUUUUGGAUAUAAUUUUGGUAUGUUUAGAUCAAAAUUCUGAAUUAUCUGAUUUGGUAGCAGGAUUUUUGGCCAAGAUUCUACCUUUUAUCUUUUCCUUGCUUGUUUCAGAUCACAUUAGAGUUAGUAGGUGGGAAAUGGAAAUGCAUGAUAACAUGCACAUGUGUAUACUUCUUAUUAAAUGAAUUUAGAGGCUAAUACUUAUGUGUUGUUGAUUCUAAUCCAUAAUUGUUCAAAAGUUUUUGAUUAAUUCAGUUUCAAUCUCUCUAGGACCUAAUUUGUAUCACAAAUUCCAAUUUUUUUCCUUAAAUUUUCACACAACUUUAAAUUAUGCAUAAAAUUCCACCUUUUUUUUUGUUUUUUUCUUCAACAGGCUAGAAAUGUUAUGAGGCAUGUUGCAAGUGUCAGUGGAUUGCAGAAACAUAUGCCUCGAUGCGCUUUUACUUCAUCCAUGAGACCGAUGAGUUCUGAGGCUUCUCUUCGAGCUGCGCCACCGGAAGAGAAAGGGUAAAAAAAGAUUUUCAAUGUGUCAAAAAGUUUGCUAUAUAUGACUUUGGGGGUUUUGCAGAAACAAUCCCUUUCCUUUUCGACUUUGUAGCUCUGUAAUCUGUUACUACCGUUAAAUUAUUUGGCGAUAAAAUGUUUUGUGGUGUGAUUCAAUCAUUGUUCUUAGGUUUAAGGGGCAUGACAUGUUAGCACCUUUCACUGCCGGAUGGCAAAGCUCGGACAUACACCCGCUAAUCAUCGAAAAAUCAGAGGUAGUAAGUGAGCAUUUCGCUUUAGUCUACGGUAGUUUCAAGAUCUGAUAAAGAUUCGUAGUUCCUAUAAUUUUAGCCAUCAUUUUACAAAUUAAGCCUUCUUUUUAUUAUGCUGUUAUAUUCCUGUUUUAUGCCUGCGUAAUAAUUAGUUAUGUGGUGAAUGUCACAGGGUUCUUACGUUUAUGAUAUCAACGGGAAGAAGUAUCUAGAUGCGUUGGCCGGACUAUGGUCCACGGCUUUAGGUACCGAAAAACUGCUUCUAAUUUAAACUCAAUUGUUCACUGCAUUUUCGAGACCAUCAUACAAUUUCAUGUAACGCGGGAACUGUAACAGCUAAUUGCAAAAUCUGAAUGUUAUUACACUUGAAAUUGCAAUUUCGUGCAAAAAACUGCAAAUAGAUGCUUGCAGGGGCCUUAAAUUUUUGUGUUCUUAGUACGUACAAGCAUAUUUAACUUAUUUCUUUCUUUUCUAGUAUCUGGUAGAUAAUGUUUCGAAACCAAGAAAAGUUUCAUUAUUAGUAUGGUGGACUAUUCGGAACAAUUUAUGUUUUUAUUUUGCUUUUAAGUUUUAACAAUUUUCAGGUGGAAAUGAGCCUCGGCUUAUCAAGGCCGCAACCGACCAACUGAACAAAUUGCCGUUUUACCAUUCCUUCUGGAAUCGAACAACGAAGCCCUCGCUGGUAUGUAUUAGCCCUUAAAAAGUUUUAUGUCUUUUUAUUUGCUCAUUUUACCAUCGUAUUUUCGUUACAUUGCUUAUUCAUAUUAGAACAGUUUUUUGGUCUGUAAAUAUUUGAACUUGGAGUCCAUACUAUGUUAUAGUUUGAUCAAGUUUUGUUCCCAAUCUCCUUUUAUUUGUUGGUUUAUAAUGCUGGUGAGCAAUUUCGCCAACUCUUUUGAAGAUGUAUGUUUGUGCAGGAUCUUGCAAAAGAGAUUCUCGAGUUUUUCACAGCAAGAAAAAUGGGAAAAGUCUUCUUCACCAACAGUGGCUCCGAAGCCAACGAUUCGCAGGUUUGUUUGUCUGCUCCUCGCGAAACUACUGCAGCGACUGUUCGCUUACGUACUAUUUUUUUCACAAAUACAAUAUUACAAUCUAAUAGCUUUCCUUGGAGAUGUAACUCUUUAAUUUGUAAUCGUUCAUUGCUUUAGUUCGAAUAUAGAUAGUAUGACUACACUAGUUAAGUUUUUUGAAAAACUAUAUCGAAAUUUCGACGUUUACAUAUUAAACGUUAUGAAGAGGCCUGAUAAAAGCUUAAGCUUUUGGGGAACGAACUUACCUUUUUAUUUAGUUUUCAUCCAUUACAAGUUUUAUGUAUUUAUUAUAGAGUUGAAUGUGAUCUUUCUUUUACAUGUCUUCACCUUUAUCCGUUCGGAAUUAAUGUUAAUAUCUUCUCUAAUCCACAUUAAUAAGAAAUUUCAAUCAAGAUCAUUACUUAGAUGUUCGCAGAUUUAUUUUUCUCUCUUUUCAGGUAAAGCUUGUUUGGUACUAUAACAAUGCGCUGGGGAGGCCGAACAAGAAGAAAUUCAUAGCUCGAUCGAAGUCGUGAGUUUUUAGCUUAUUCGCUUGCGCCCGUCCGUUCCUCACCGCACUUCAAAAUUUUCGAUGAUCUUUUGAAUAGCCUAUUCUUUUGCCCCUAUAAUUUUUCGUUUUCUAUGCUUCGGCAGGUAUCACGGAUCGACAUUAAUAGCGGCUAGCCUUUCCGGGUAAGUCGAAUACGGCGCAUUUCCAAGCUCAUUUGAAUUGCUUUAUUCAAUUUAAAACAAUUCGACUUGAAUUUGUUGAAUUUUCAGUCUCCCUGCUCUGCACCAAAAGUUCGAUCUACCUGCGCCGUUUGUGUUGCACACGGAUUGCCCUCACUAUUGGCGCUUCCAUCUCCCCGGUACUCAUUUAGUUUGAUCCAUUUUAUAUUCUUCUUUUUUUUAAAAAAAAAUAGUCCAAAAUUUUCAUUUUUUCAACUGUAAGGAAAAUUUUAAAAUAAUAUAGUUAUUUUGUCCUUUGACUUUUAGUGAAUGGAUGCAUGAAUGUGAAAGGAUGUGACUUUUUAUUUGAUCAUAAUUAUCAUUUAGAUGUAUGACCCGUUCGUGGUCUAUAUGCCUAUAGUGCUGAUUGCUGAAGUACAUAUGAAAAGUUCAAGUCUCCAUUCAUAAUAAUUUCAUUUUUGUUUCGUAUUCUCUUUCUUUUUGAUAACUUAAUCGAGUGAAUGCUCAAAGGUUCGACUUCGUAUGUGCAAACGUUGUUGGAUUUUAUACUUCAUUAUAUUCUGGGAGGCUAUUCGUUGACCCAGUGUACGCCAAAUUGCCUGAACAGCGGGGACGGAUUAAGCCUUAAGGAGAGUGACUUUGCUACACGCCUUGAAGCCUUUUUCAUUUUUCUACUUCAUAUACUUUUUAAGAUUUUUGAUACAGCAACAACUUGGGUCAAACACUCUUUUCAUGGAUUUAGAACAUCAUUACAAAAUCGAAAAAUUUAGUUUCCGCAAUAUGCCCUACAUUGUGUUCAUGAUCUGUUUCCUAAAAUUUAGAAUUAUAUUUACUCUUAAAUACUUUUAGGCGAGACGGAGGAGGAAUUCUCGACCAGAUUAGUGAACAAUUUGGAGAACCUUAUUCUCAAAGAAGGACCUGAGACGGUAUUUUAUCUUAUUCUAUAUUUUUUUCUCAAAAAAUUUCAGAGAUUUUGUAACACGCAGAAAAAUGAUUCAGUGGUUGUUCUUCAGAUUGCUGCUUUUAUCGCCGAACCCGUUAUCGGUGCAGGCGGAGUUAUCCUUCCUCCAAAGACGUAUUUCGACAAGGUGAUUAUCAUAAAAUUUAUCGACCCAUUAUUCGAUGUAAAUUCUCGUCGUAAUUGUCGAUGGUUGUAUCAAAUAUGCAUGAAUUAUUAGCUAAUAUACACAUAAAUUUAAUCAUACAUGCAAUUUUACUUCACAAGGUAUAGUUUUUUUAUUCUUUUUUCCUGAUUUCGCAGGUUCAAGCUGUUCUAAAGAAGUAUGAUAUUCUUUUUGUCGCAGAUGAGGUACUUAAUUUUCUCAUUUUAACUUUAUAACACACACACACACACACACACACACACACACACACACACAAAAGUGUACAAGUACUGACAUUUUUUUUGUAUAUAUAUAUAUAUUGUAAGGUUAUUACUGCUUUUGGAAGAUUAGGGAUGAUGUUCGGGUGCGACAAAUACGACAUUCGACCUGAUCUUGUUUCUAUAGCCAAAGUGAGUCCUUUUACUUUUGGUCAAUUAAUGCAUAAUAUUAGCGAAACUUUUCAAUUUUAUCUUUGUUAUAUUUUAGGCUCUUUCAUCUGCGUAUUUGCCCAUCGGCGCAAUUCUCGUUAGCCCGGAAAUAUCAGAAGUAAUACAUUCUCAGAGCAGUAAACUUGGUAAGCAUGUAAAAUCCCCUGCACCAUGCAUUGUUAUGUCGCAAAAGCGUGUUUCGACACCCCUUAACUUUAGCUCAUUUGAAUUAGGUCUCGGUACUUAUUUUUUUCAUUUUAUUUCUUAUUUUCUUUGGAUUUUGAAUCCCUAAUUCGACAUGCUGCGUGAUUUCAUAAGAUUCCCCAGAAAAUAUACUAGAAAAGAGUUUUUUGACUGGAAGAGUAUUUUCCGUCUGUUCGGUUCCUUUGAAAACGUAGUUUUCCUGAAGAAGUUUUUCUCCAGAUUUCAUGGAAAAGUAGUGUUUUCGUUUUCCAAACAUUUUAUCUGGAAAGCGAAAACUAUGGAAAAGGUUAUUUUCUGUGCGAAACAUUUUUUUUUUCCUUGGAAAACAGUUUUCCAUACUUUUGCAAGUUCGAAUUCUCAAACUAUCAAAUCGCAUUAUCGCAGGAUCGUUCGCUCACGGAUUCACAUACUCCGGUCACCCUGCGCCUUGUGCUGUUGCUUUGGAGACUCUUAAGAUUUAUAAGUAAAUCCUUUUACUCUUCAUUUUCGUGACUUUUCGGUAACAAAUUAUUUCGAUAAAAAGAGUGUUAGUUUUGUGCACUACGAACUUGAAAUAAGCAUGAUUCCCUCCAUAUUUUUAUGAGUUUCUCAUUUUGGUCCCGUAACCAAUCCUCUGUUGUACUCGCAACAUGCGUAGUCCACAAAGCCGCAUACGUUGUUGUGAGCUGCGGCCAAUUUGGGCGUAGUUCCAACUGCGGCAGUUGAGUCUUCUUAUGCAGUUCCUACUACAACAGUUGAAUUCAAAUGCAUCAAACCGAGCAGCGAAUUUAGAUCUGCACGCAAUUGCAACUACAGCGCAGUUGCAACUGCGCGCAACCGAACCUCUACUAUUUGAUGAAUCUUAACAAAAAUUAAACAUGAUUUUUAGGGAGAGAAAUAUCCUUGAACAUGUAAAUGCUAUUGCGCCGAAAUUCCAAGAGGGCAUUAGACAAUUCUCAUCAAGUCCCAUAAUUGGAGAGGUAAUUUUCAAUUUUUUUUCUUUUCACUUAUCAACUAUAAUUAUUAUUAUUUUUUCCAAAUUAUAUAAAUAAUGGUUAUUUUUCACACAGAUACGCGGGGAAGGGUUGGUUCUCGGGACCGAGUUUACCGACAACAAGUCUCCGAAUGAUACAUUUCCUCCGGAAUGGGGUUAUUACUCCGAUUUUUGUUUUUUUUUUUAAAUGAACUUUGAGAAAAUAAUUAUGGAUAGCUUUAUAUUGAAAUAAUUAUGCAAAUGACUAAAAAUUGUUUUAGGGGUCGGUUCGAUAUUCGGGUCGGAGUGUGAGAAGCACGGGUUAUUGAUUCGGGUCGCGGGUGAUAGCAUAAUGAUGUCUCCACCACUGAUAAUUUCUCCAAAUGAAGUAGACGAGGUAUUAUGAUUUAUGAUGUAGAGUUCAACGUGCUUGUGAUUUUUCAACCGUCAGAUUGCCUCAAGAUCUGUGUAGCACUCGUAAAGGAUGCACGGAUCUUGAGGCGGUCCGACAGUUAAAAAGUCACAAGCACAUGCUUCUGUACUUUUAAAAGCAUAGGAGCUCAACUCUUAUGAUGUAUAUAAUUUUUGUGUCAUUCUUAUUAUUAUAAUUAUUUUUUGCCUCUCAAAAGUUUGAAACCAUUUCGUAUCGCCCCUCGAAAGUUUGAAAUAUUAUGAUAUGCUCCUGUAAAAAUACAAGUAGUUUUUUAAAUGCUCUUUUCGGAGGAUAUUUCUGAGUACCACAAACACAUUAUAAGGGGAUUUUUUUUUUUUUUUUUUUGAGAGGCAAAAAAUAAUUAGUUUGAACAUUCAAAUUUAAAUUUUUUAAAAUUUUGAAACUUUUCUUUUUGAUGUUUCAGUUGAUAAGCAAAUACGGAGAAGCCCUGAAGAGCACAGAGGAAAGAGUUGCUCAGCUGAAAUCUCAGGAGAAAAUUUGAAGCAAAAAAAUUUAACUUCUCUUUCGAGUUGUCGAAUUCGCGAAUGCAUGUACACAAAUAAUUUGACUUGUUUUAGUUGCUAAUAAAUGGAUUAGCGAAAAAUUGUUCUUGGGCUCGAGAAAAAGAUCAUUGUUAUGAAUUUAUCUAUCUUAAAGAUCCCUUUUUUAUUCUCUCAAUUUGGGUUCAUUAUCUCUAGUGUUUAAGCUAAUCAAUUUGUUUUGGAAUGAUUUUUUUCUUUUUUUUUUCUCUUUUCUUUUGCGAUCGAUAAUUUAUUUUAUUUAUGAAAAUAACUUGGAGGUCAAAUAUGAUUAAUAUUGACAUAUAAAUAUUGAAUAUGAUCUUAAUUUUUUUAUGCGCUAUCUUUUCUGGUUAGUUAUUAUUGAUAAACUAUGUGCAUUGAAUUUGGUCAGAGGUGCUGAUAUAGUAAACGUGGACCAGAUACUAAACCGACAAACGGGGCCCGUUGGACGAUCCGUGGAUGGGUCAUCAGUUCCGCGGAUCAUUUGGGUAUGGGUAGAAUUUAUCCGUACCCGCUCGCCGGCGGGCUGGCGGGUUACUUGCAAGGUGCUCUUUUUUUUUAUUUUUUAUUCUUAUACUUUUCAAAUACUAUAUAUAGAGUCCGGCUGGAAUACUAUCGAUAGAACCAAGCGUUUGGUGCUAUCAAGUUUCUACUGUUAGAUUUAACUCUUUGACUAUUUUCACCUGCUAGACUAUAGUAUUAAAUCAAUAACUCACUCAAUCCUAAGGGCCCACAUCUCUCUCUCUCUCUCUCUCUCUCUCUCUCUCUAUAUAUAUAUAUAUAUAUAGAAUUAGGCUGGAAUACUAUUAAUAGUAAAACGCUCUUUUUGCUAUCAAAUUUUUAACCCUUGAAUAAAAAUUGUAAGGUCGGGAUGAUAUAAGUCGGUUAGAGUUGAGUGGUCCCCCUAGGGUUGAGUGGUCCCCACUAGGUUAUAGUAUUUAAUCCAAUGGUUAGAAAUAAUGAAAAGAGUUGAUCCAAAGACUAAAAAACUGGUAGCAACAAUGGAAUUUUGCUACUAAUAGUAGCCGAGUCCAACUCUCUCUCUCUCUCUAUCUCUCUCUCUCUCUCUCUCUCUCUCUAUAUAUAUAUAUAUAUAUAUAUCUUACAGGAGUCCGACUGCUAUGCUAUCGAUAGCAUCAAGCUAGCACUUGGUGCUAUAAAGUUUUCUGCCGUUAGAUUAACCCCUUUGAUUAUUUUUACCCGUUAUAUUAUACUAUUCAACCAACCACCCACUCAACUCUAGGGGGUCCAUAUCAUCCUAACCGCAUAUUUCUCAAUCCAAGGGUUAAAAAGCUAAUAACACAAAUAACUUUGUGCUAUUGAUAGUAUGCCAGCAUAAUUCUUUUUACAGAUACCUACAAGUCACCCCAAAAUACCUUAAUUUAACGGGUACUUGCCCGUUUUAACCGUAAUAUUUUGGGUGAAAACAUUAGUGCCGAUACCAGCAAAUUUGUGGGUAACCCGCGGGCACGAGUAGUAUUAGUAACCCUUCCAAUACAAGUGGUGGCAUAUAUUAUAUAAUUUAAUUUGAGAAUUUAAAAUAGUGACAAAAAUUAUUUGUCAUGCCGUCUUAGCUCAGCCGGUAGAGCGCAUGGCUUUUAACCAUGUGGUCGUGGGUUCGAUUCCCACAGACGGCGUUCUUGUCAAUAACUUUCAUGUUUUUUUUUUAAAAAAAAAUAUAUUAGAUAAAAGCGAUCUUCUACUCCCUCAUCACUAUCAAAAUUGAUAGUUUAUUGAACAAUUUUAUUUAAUUUAUAUGUAACGUCAUUUACAAAUUUACUUUUAUAAGGUUUCACUGUUAAAUUCGCUGGUCGUUUUAGAAUUUUGAAUUUAUUAUUGUUCAUAUUUUUUUAGAAAUCAACUUAGCUAUAAACAGAAAGCAAUUAGACUUAAACUUAAAGACUUUUUGUUACUUUCACUAGAGACGGACAGUAAUUGAUGCAAUUCUUAAUACAGAGAAUAAUUGAGACGAGAACGCUAAAGUAAUUGCCGCAAUUCUUUUUCUCUGAGAAAAAGACAGUACGUUAUCUGCUUCGGUUUUUUUUUUUUAUAAAAAAUAAAUUUAGUUAGAAAUAUAAAGCAACUACGCUAUAAACUUAAGACGUUGACUAUCAACUAUCAAGUUCUUUAUUGCUUGCGCUAGGAAUAAUCAGUGAUUGACGCAAUUCCUAAUGCAAGUAAUAAUUGAGAAGAGAACUGGAGUGUAAUAUGGUGUGAUGUAAUGUAAACUAAUUUAAAUUAGGGUUAAUUUCAUACAGGUCCUUGCUACAAAAUUUGAUUUUUAUAUAUUACUCUUAGAAAAGUCAUAAUGUUUUCAAAUAUGUCAAUCUGGUUUGUUACUGUUAAAAUACUGUUUACUUUAUAAACGAAAUAACUUUUUUGUCAUCAUAAAUAUAUUUUUCCAAAAGUCCCAAAUAUUAAUUAAAGAGGGAUAAAAAUAUCAAUUUAUCUCAUUAACUAACUAGAGUUAAGUAUUUUACCUAUGGUUAAUUAAUCUUUUUUAAUGGAUCCUAACGACAGUAACGUAUUUGAAAACAUUAGGAAUUUUGUAGGAACGACAUAUGAGAGUUAAACUUUGUAGGAAUAUAUUUGUAAUUCACUAUAUUUGUAGGGACGUAUACGAGAUUAACCCUUAAAAUUACUAUUUUUUUAUCCAAGCUGUAGUGGUGGCCCAGGUUCAGCAAAUAUUCUCUCUCUAUAUUAUGUACUUAUGUUAUAUGUAGAGAGAGAGAGAGAGAGAGAUAUUUGUUUCUCUAAACUCUUAUUUCUCCUUAUCUCUCCUCCACCAUAAAAACCACAUCCAAUUUCUUCAAAUGCCCAUGUAAUUAAUGGCCUUUAAUUCCUUUUAUUUGUCAUUGUUGCAAAUUAAUUCAAUCUUAGUUGAUAAAUUUGCUCUCUUUUUUUUUGGGUUACUUUUCUUGGAUUUCCUGCUAAAUUAUAAAAUAAUUAUUCCAUGCAAUUUAGAUGUUGGUGUUCUUUUUAAUCAAUUGGGUUCAUUUUGUUUGGUUGAGUAGUUGGGUUUUUUAAAUUAAAUCAAACAAAUGUUCUUAUAUGAUCUUUUUUUUCAUUAAAAAAAGUUACAAAAUUGUGCAUCCUAAAUCCCUCCUAUGAUGCUCUAUUUUGUUUCAGUUUAUAAAUUAUUCAAUGCAAUUCAGAUUUGGUAUUCUUUUUUUCCUUUUUUUUUUUGAGUUGGGUAAAAUCUUUUAUUUAAUUGGUUUUUUUUUUUUUUUUUGGUUUGGUUGCAGCAUUAGGUUUCUAACAUAAAUCAAGACAAAUUUCUGUAUAAAAAUUACCGUUUUACAGACGAUUUUUCACUAAAAAAUUAGGCAAUUUCAAUUUGUUCAAGUUCAUUCUCAUAUAUUACUUAUUCUAUUGCCUCUAAUUUUUUUUAUUGCUUGUAAUGCAACUUUGAAUGUAAUAGGGUUCUCACGACAAACCAUAAAUUAUUAUAUUACUAUAUAGUAAUAUAUAUAUUCUAAUUUAACAAGCAAAUUUCUUAUAACAAUUAUCUUUUACAGCAUCAUUGCAAUUUUGCAUUUGUUCAAUUCCAUUUGAUAAGUUGGCUUCUAUUUGCCCUAAUUUUUUUUUGUAUGUAUACAAAUUUGAAUGUGAAUUAGGGUUUUCACACACACACAUAUAUAUAUAUUCUAACUUAAAUCAAGCAAAUUUCUUAUAACAAUUAUCUUUUAUAGCAUCAUUUUUCAUUAAGAAAUCAGCAAUUUUGCAUUUGUUCAAUUCCAUUUGACAAGUUUGCUUACAUUUGCCCUAAUUUUUUUUGUAUGCAUCCAACUUUGAAUGUGAAUUAGGGUUCUCACAUAUACAUAUAUUUCAUAGAUUGAUGAGUGAGGCAGCUUUGUGUUAUCCGAUCGCGAAAUCGGCGACCAAAUUUGCCGGUUUUGAGAAUGCUCUGAAAGAGAGUGGCAGGAAUUUCAAUGUCGAUGUCGACAGAAAGAAUCAUCAGGACAGUGUUUUUCUCGACAAGCGCGGGAAGUGGCGAACAUUCGAUCCGAAAAAGCUGUCCAGGAAAAGAGGUAACAAGUUUUUGUAAUCGAUAUCGCGAAACCAGCAAUUGCAAUUCGCAAUCUGCAAUUAACCCUUGAAAAGGUGGUUCUCUGAGGGGCCGCGGGUGGAAAUACGGUUCCGGUUUCGUCGACGGCGUGAUCCCUGUUCUUAGCCCGAUGGCAGACCAAAUCCUCAAAUUCGUUCAGCAGGAAACCGAUGCCGCCAAAAUCUGGCGGUCGUUUAAUCGUCUCCCUCCUACGCACAAUCUCUGGGACGAUUUGAUCAGCGUCGCCGUGCAGCUUCGCAUAUUCAAGCAGUGGGAUCCUGUGAUUGCGGUGAGAAGUGUUUUCGGUUUGUUUCUGCAACUUGCAAUUUACAUGCACUGCGGUAAAAAUUCGAGUUUUCGUAUGUAUGUUUGCGGAAGAACACGAUUCAUGCUCGUAGUUUAGGUAUGCGAGUGGAUAUUUUACAAGAGUCCGUUCCGUCCCGACAUAAUCUUCUACAACUUGCUGAUCGAUGCGUUCGGUCAGAAGCGUCAGCUGGAUAAAGCAGAAGCGGUUUACUCGCGGCUUCUGGAAGCGCGGUGCGUGCCGACCGACGACACUUACGCACUUCUUCUGAGGGCUUGUUGUAGGUCGGGAUCGCUCCACAAGGCCGAGGCUGUGUUUACUGAGAUGCGGAAGAACGGCAUUCCUCCGAGUAUGUUUUUCUCCUCGAAUACUCGCUUCUUGUGCGGACCGCAGUUCGCGAUUUUGUGAAGUUGUUCGUAAUAUUCGUAUCGCUAUUAAAUCAUGAAUUUAUGCAGAUUUGAGCGUCGAUUUUGCUCAGGUGUGGUUGUUUACAACGCGUAUCUCGACGGAUUGUUGAAAGGAAGAUGCACUCAGAAGGCGAUCGAGAUUUUUCAGCGGAUGAAGAAAGAUCGGUGCACGCCGUCCACCGAGACUUACACAUUGAUGAUAAAUAUCUACGGAAAGGUUAUUAUUCUUUCGUUUUCUCUUUUACUAUGUCUAAAUGAUGGGACAUCCGAAUCGAUGCUCGGCUAAUAUAAAGUGAAUCUGAGACCACUUAAUCACCGGAAAAAUGAUGAUGUUGAAGAAUCGUGAAAUUUGAGUUCUUAGAAAGUUCAAAUAGAGUAAGAUAAUGUUUAUCAGCGCCGAUCGUUGGUUCAGAUACUCUAUCGCCGGAAACGUCACGAAAGUAAACGAGAUUGUUUACUUCUCGAAGCAUUCUAGCCUACUCUUAUAAGAUAGAGUGAUUCUCGAACAGGCGAACCAAUCGGCGACGGCCUUGAAGUUGUUCAAUGAGAUGAAAACCGAAAAAUGCAAGGCCAAUAUCUGCACCUACACUGCUCUUAUCAAUGCAUUCGCGAGGGAAGGGCUUUGCGAGAAAGCAGAAGAAGUGUUCGAGCAGUUGCAAGAAGCCGGGCACGAGCCCGAUGUUUACGCCUACAACGCUCUCAUGGAAGCUUACAGGUAAAAAAAUCGACAAUUUGGCGCCGAAUUUAGAUUCUAGCGCGAGCUAAGUCGAUGAAUUUUUGAAUUUCCGAAUGGCUGCUGGCUCAGUCGCGCAGGUUUCCCGUACGGCUCUUCCGAGAUCUUCUCUCUGAUGCAGCACAUGGGAUGCGAGCCCGAUCGCGCUUCAUACAACAUAUUGGUCGACGCGUUUGGUCGAGCCGGCCUUCACGAAGGUGCGUGAACUCGAAAUGCUCGGUUUCAUAUUGGUUAUAUCUAUAAGAAACCGUACUUUCGACGCUUACGUGCGAGAACGAUCACGCUUACUCUUAUAGAUGCGCAAGCUACGUUCGAAGAGCUAAAGAGGCGCGGCAUGACCCCCACCAUGAAGUCCCACAUGCUCCUUCUCUCGGCCUACUCGAAAGCUGGGAACAUCCCGAAAUGCGAGGAGAUCAUGAACCAGAUGCACGAAUCGGGCCUCGAGCCCGACACAUUUGCGCUGAACUCGAUGCUCGACGCGUACGGUAAAGCCGGGCUUUUCGACAAGAUGGAGCAAGUGCUCUCCAAGCUAGAGACCGGCCCGUACGCGACCGACGUCAGCUCCUACAACAUCUUGAUCAAUGUGUAUGGGCGCGCGGGGUUCUUCGAUCGAAUGGAGGAGCUCUUUCGGUGCAUUCCGCGUAGAGGACUAAAAGCCGAUGUCAUAACGUGGACUUCGCGGAUAAGUGCUUAUUCACGGAAAAAGCAGUAUGAGAAGUGCUUGGAUUUGUUUGAAGAGAUGAUUGAUUCCGGGUGCUACCCCGACGGCGGGACCGCGAAAGUGCUUCUCGCGGCGUGUUCUAGUGAGGAGCAGGUUGAGCAAGUCACUGCAAUUGUGAGAUCCAUGCACAAAGAAGCAAAAUGUGUGUUUACUAUUUGAAUAUUUUUGGUCCCAUGCUCGUGAUUUUUUAGCCGUCGGAUUGUCUCAAAAUUCACGCAGCACUAAUAAAGGAGAAUGAGUGGGACACAUCGUUAAUAGUGUUAUAUGGAUCUUAAAGUGAUCCGAUGGCUAAAAUGUCACAAGCACAAGUACUACUGUGCUCCUAUGCUAAAAAGUACAGGAGCUGACUCUCAAAGAGUUGAGCUCAUUAAAAGCACAGGAGCUAAACGUAUUUGUGAUUUUUCAGCUGUCGGCUUGCCUUAAAAUCAGUGCAGCACUAAUAAAGGGGACUUAGUGGGACACACCGUUAAUAGUGUUGUACGGAUCUUAAAGUGAUCUAACGGCUAAAAUGUCACAUGCAUAGAUGCUCCGGUACUUUUAGCACAGGAACUCGACUCCCAAAGAGUUGAGCUCAUUAAAAGCACAAGAACUAAACGUACUUGUGAAUUUUUACCUGCCGAAUUACCUUAAAAUCCGUGCAGCAAGUUAAUAGUACUGUAUGGAUCUUGAGACGACUCGAUGGUUAAAAAGUCACGAGCACAAAUGCUCCUGUGCUUUUAAAAGCGCGGGAGCUCAACUCUUGGUCCAAAUUAACUUUUUUUUUGUAAAAUAGUUUAAUAAUUUUUUUGCGUAAAUUGUGCGUCGGUGUUAAUAUUAUUUUGUUGCUACUAGCUAACUAUUGUAGAAAAAAUAUAUAUAUAUAUAUAAGAAUUUAAUUUGAUUUUCUGUUAUUUUGUUAUUAAUAUAUUUGGUGAAAAUUGUGAUGAUGUCAUAAAUGGUGAAUUUGUGCUCUUUGAGGAAUCAUAAGGAGUUUCAUAAGCUAACAAGAUUGGAUUACACUAGAUAUGCUUAAUAUCCAUAAACUGUAGGGAUUACGAUGCAAAAUUACUCUUAUUUUAUAUUGUAUUUGAUCAUCAAAUUUAGAGAGAGAGAGAGAGAGAGAGAUGCGACCACUUUAGUGUUAGAGUUACUGGAAAAGUAUAACUCAACUAAGCUCAUUCGAAAAUUUAGUUGAAUUUGAUAUUUUUUACAAUCGACACGAAAAAUCUUUAAACGGUAAUAAUUUUUUCAUUAAGUGUCCGAUUUCAGCGCAUAAUUUCAAUUUGAAAAGUAAUUUUAAAAAUCUACGCAUCAAAUGGCAAAACCACUCCAAUCGAGUUUAAAACCCAAAUUCAACUGUUUUGGCCUCCAUUUUUAUCUUUUUUGGCUAUUUGUGAAAAAAAAUUAUAUUUUAUUAUUUUGAGUCUUACUACCCUAAGGUUGAGUGAAUUAUUAAUUUAAUAGUAUAAUCUAACGGGUAAAAUAAUCAAAGAAUUAAAUUUAACGGCAAAAAACUUGAUAGCACCAAACGCUUGAUGUUAUCGAUAAUAUCCCAACUGGACUCUCUCUCUCUCUCUCUCUCUCUCUCUCUCUCUAUAUAUAUAUAUAUAUAUAUAUAUAUAUAUAUAUAUAUAUAGACAAAGAACAAAACUAGAGGGUACUAGAAUCACUGUUAUAUUCUCAUUGUAUCAAAAUUACUGCAGGAAAUACACAAAGAGUAUUCAUCAACUAUGAGAGAGUACAAAGAACAAAAACAAGAAAAAGUUGAUGCUAAACUCAGAUACAUCAUAAAAUGCAUAGCUAAUCCUACAAAAGUUACAAAAUGAAAAUAGAAAAAAAGAGAGGCUAAAAUGGAUACAACCCCCUCCCUUACUCCUGCGACGAGAUAAUCAAAACCGAGUACAAGAUGAUGAAGUGUAACAUGCGAUAUAUCGAGGAGGGAUUUUGUUUGUAUUUUUAGUCACGAAAAAGAAAAGCUCGGCGGCGUCUGUUUCUCAUGUUUUGAUCUUCCAAUUGUGGGCGCUGCGGACUCCGCUGGCAAUGCCUUGGUAGUACCGCGACUCGAGAUUUCGACUAUUCCACUCUUUGACGAAUUUCGAGAAGAGGUCCCUGGCGGCGUCGGAUGAGAGGUCGGAGAAGUAUAUCCCUCGCUCUUCUUUCAACCAUGUUGCGAACUCGUUGUUCUUCGAGAAGUAGUCGUCCUUCGACAGCUCCUUGAAAUCCUAUUUCCGAGAGGCCAAAAAAGCAUCAGAACAAAAGAUGCAAAGGAAAACACGAGAAAGAAAUUUUUUUUUUUUUCGCUCUCGCUCUUCUAGAUUUUAUGCCAAGGUUGUCCACUAUCUCAAUUAACAACUAGUCGUCAUGCUACAUUCUAUGGGUUUUCCGAAAGAAAUGAGUCUAACGUCUUUUAGGAUGAUAUAAAGUCUAAAGUUUCAUGCAAAUCGAAUCGAAUUGAAGCCAUCAUGAGAUGAACUUAGAACAAGGCUCUAAGCAAAGCCUUGAAUCGACAUCAUAAUAGAGUGUAAACACCACAACUUGAGAAUUUCCAAAGAUCAGGAUAACACUAAUUCAUCUUAAGUUUAGCACAACCCAUCCAACCCAAAAAUGACACAAACACGACAACAUAUAACACGAAAUAAGCCAACUUUUCAAUCCUUUAAGAUCAUAGGUAAAAAUGUAUAAAACUUAGCUGAACUAUAGACCAUUUUGAUCCGAUUACCCAACCUUUCAAAAUUUUGACUUUAGUACCUAACCUUUCAAUUUAUUUGAUUUAAGUGAUUUGAUCGCGCUCUUCAGAUACAAAAUUUAAGCUAAUUGCUUACUUUAAUGAAUUUAUAGUUACGUAAAUUAUAUAAAAUGUAUUAACUAAAUCUGUAAAGAUGAAUGACGCAUUUAAAUUUUGAAAUUAAAGAGUCAUUAAUUAGCUCAAAUCAAAUAAAUUAAAAUGUCAUGUAGUAAAAUCAAAACUUUUAAAGGUUAGUCAAAUCCAAAUGAGUGACAGUUAAGGUAAGUUUUAUACAUGUUUACCAAGAUCAUAUUAUGGACUUCCACCGCGCGAUAGGGCCGCAAGGCCAGAUAGAAGCAGUUGACUGCAUAAUCUUCAGGAAUCAGACUUACCAACUUCCAAUUUUGCAUACGAAAGCAAUAUACUUCAAAAGAAACAGGAAAAAAAAAACCAAAAGAGAAAGAAGAAACUCACUGAAUCAUCAUCUUUCCUGCUGCGCUUGCUCUUAUCCUUCGAUUUCUUCUCUGACAGAAGAAAAAUGAAAGCACAGAGAAUCAUAAAACAAUAUUUUCAAAAUGCGUAUACAGCAUAAUCAGAAACACUGUGAGCAUAUCGCAAUCCUUGUUAAACAGUAGAAACAUUUCAAACUGUGAUACAUCAAACAAGGAUCAUACACAUCUAUACAAUAACAUCGCAUCUUUCGGGCUCUGUUUGGACGUCAGAAUAAGUUAUCCGACGAUCACUAAUUCGGUACGAGGAUGUUCUUGUUAGAUAAAAUGAUAGAUAGCAUAUAAGAAGACGAAUUUUGAUCUUCUGGCAGAAAAAGCCCAUGGUCCUGUUUGUUUGUUCGUCCGUAAUUGAUUUUCAGGUUGAAAAUGACAUUCAGUUUAACUGAAGUUCAGGUGAAAGUGAGUUUUUCUCGUCUGUUUGGUUGAUAGGAAGUCCGCGGCUUUGUGAUUGUGACUGUAGUUAUGCUAUUAUUUUUUGUUUAUUUUGCCGCAAAUUUUCACAUUAGCAUAUAAGAAGGUGAAAAAAAGUUAUAGCAAAUGGCUUUUUAUCAUUUUUUCCUAUCUCUUUUUUCUCUCUCGCAAUUGACUCCGCCACCACCCGGGGAAGUCAAUUACGGCGUUUUGAAAAAGUUGAGUUCCGGGCGAAUUUAAUUUACGAUGAACUAGAAUCGUAAAUUAAAUUCAGUAUUUUAUCACCAUUUUAUGCUCAAAGAACAAAUUUUUUAAUUUUUUAAUUUUUUUAGUUUGGAACAAAUAAGGCAAACCAAAAGCCCAUCUUUCCCUGUCGAUUUUUUUAAAAAAAUUCAUCUAAAAAUUACAAUGAAUUCGACGAAAAUCGGAGAUAAUUUCUUAUUUCGCAUUAAAAAAAAAAAGAAAUCUCCCAAAAGAAUUUGAUGAUUUGUAACCUAAAAGAACAAAUUUUUACUAAUUUUCACCACCGAUUAAUCCAAACCAAGCAAGAACCCUACCUUUCCCAUCCCGAUUCCUCGAGCUCCCGUGCGAUUUCUCGCUCUUACUCUUCUUCUUCUCCUUCCUCUCUCUCUCGUCCCUCCUCUUCCGGUGCUUUGCGCUCCGCUCUUCGUCGUCUAAAUUGGCGCAAAUUUGUUCGAAAUUAGGGUUUAGGGAGUGCGGAAAAGAGGGGGGAAAGGGGAAACUUCGCACCUUGAGAGGGAUUCGGAGAUGGAGACGAUCGCCUCUUCCGAGAUCUCCCUUCGCCACCCAUUUUUGCCCCCGCCCCUUCUUCUCCUUCGCCCUAAUCGAUCGUUUAGAGAAAGAGAGAGACGAUACAUAUUUGGGUAAAAUUGCACAACUAGUCCCUCAACUUUAACUUAAUUAUAUUCUGGUCCUCAAUAGCAGAUACACAUUAUUUUCACUUUAAAUCCAUGAUAGAGAAUUAAUAAAAGUAAUAAUAAAUGUAUGGAGAGUGGAGACCCCCUCAACUAUAGGCUAUUUUGAAAUAGCCCCCUUUACAUUAGCUUUUUCAGUUGAGAUCUUUAUAACUUUUAAAUUUUUUUGAAAAUUAAAAAAUUAUCAAACUCAUUAAUAAUUUUACCAAAUUUUAUAAUUUUAGCUUUAUAUUAACUACUAGUAGCUACUAUUUAACAAAAAAUUUUAAUAAAAAUGACCAGAAUAACCUAAUAAAGAUAAAAGAGUCAGAAUAAAAAAAUUUAAAGUUGAGGGGGUCAUUCCAAAUUAGCAAAGGGUCUUCAUAUAUUUUUACCGAUAAUAAAUUUACACAAAAACUAAAGUGAAAUGUUUUUGGGAAGUUCACUUUGUAAAAGUUUGAGAACCCAAAAAAGUAAUUUCUAACGAUUUGGGGGCUAGUACCGAAAUUUACUCUAGAGACUGAUAUUAAAUUUUGAGAUAGUACAGGGACUAUCCCGUAAAUUUAUUCUCUUCGUCUUCUACAAAACCCCUCGCAAAACCCCUUUCCCCUCUCUCACACCUCCCUCUCUUCAAAAAUGGCGCUCUCUCUCUCCUCCUCCCUCGCCCUCUCUCUCUCCUCCCCCUCCUCCUCUCCUCAGACCCUCUCUUUCACGGUGGUAUAGGCUUCUCUCUCUCUCUCUCCUUAGCCAUUUCCUCAUCUCCUAUUUCACCAAACUAACCCAUCAAGUGUUUGUGUUUUUGCCUCAGAGAAGCGGGAUGCCGAAUUGGGUUCGCGUAGCAUCAAAAUCUCGAUCUUUGGGUACUAAUUUUACUGUAAGAGCUAAUCCAAAGAGGUUUAUCUUUUCUGUGAUGUGUGUAAUCGUGCUUACGCAUAAGGUGUUUGUGUUUUUGCCUCAGAGAAGCGAGGAUACGAAUUGGGUUCUUGUGUAGCAUCGAAACGGAGAUUUUUGGGUAGUAAAUUUACUGUAAGAGCUGGGCCUAAGAGGAUAUCUUUUGGGGAUGAGUGUAGAAGGGGGUUGUUGGCGGGGAUCGAUAAGCUCGCCGAUACGGUUUCUGUUACCUUGGGGCCGAAAGGUAGCGGCUUUUUGGCUUGUUCAUUUUCUUAGAAAGGUUUAUUAUGUUUCCUAUGUUGGAUUUUGUGAUUUGGUGUUUGAUCAUGCUGUUAUUGCCUUAAAACUUAUAUUUGUAGGUUGGUUUAUCUGGUUUUAGCUGCUUAGCCAUUUAAGUUACUCUCUUUCUUUGGGGUUAAUCUAAAGACGUUAUUUACAAAAUCUGUUGAGUAAAAAAUAUUAGUUGUUGUUAAAUUUUAGAGCUAGAGCUGUGUAGAAAUGCUCACCCUAUAAACUUCAUUACUGUUAUUAGGGUAAAAUGUUAUUAGUUUGUUGCGUAAAUUGCCGUGUAUCACGCAUCCUAGUUAGCUUUUGAAGACCCAUCCUAAUCGAGUUAUAUAUAUUAUAUACAUUAUUUUCUUUCAGAGCAGAGAAUCUCUCUUUAAAGGCAUGUUACUUAAAAGUGAUAUUUGAUUCUUCAAAACUGAGUAGCUCAUGGCAGGGCGUAAUGUUGUUAUCGAUGAACCGGGAGUACCUAAAGUAAUAAAUGAUGGGGUUACGAUUGCUCGGGCUAUUGAACUCUCAGAUGCAGUUGAAAAUGCCGGUGCCAUGUUGCUUCAAGAGGUCAUUGCUACGACUUUACCAUUCUUAGCGAAGUUUCCAAUUUGCUGCAAAAUAGGUUCUACUUCCUGUUUCACAUGGUUUAUGAAACAAUUUCUCUACUUUGAAAGCCUAACUAAUAGCAAAAUUGGAAGCUCCAAAUUGGAGCUUCUGCAUUUGGGCCAUAAAAUCUUACUUUAGCUUUUCACCAUAACAGAAGCUUCAAACUUUUGUGUUUGCCAGACUCUGUGCCUAAGUUGAAAGCAGAAGUAAAACUAGGCCAAAUAGGCAAAAUUGUGCUCUUUGAACAGCUUACCUAAAAGCACUUAUGCAGAAGUUGCAACCGAGCGAAACGAUCGCUAAGAGUAUUGCUUUUAUUAUUGUCUAAACUAUCUUAAGCAGGUAGCAAGCAAGACAAAUGACUCAGCGGGGGAUGGGACCACCACUGCAAUUAUUUUGGCUCGGGAAAUGAUCAAAUUAGGGUUGUUGGCAGUUGCCACCGGGGCUAACCCUGUGUCUUUGAAAAAGGGCAUCGAUAAAGCUGUUAAUGAACUUAUCAAGAUCUUGAGGAGUAAAUCUGUUCCCGUGAGUGGAAAGGAAGACAUAAAAGGUAAUCAUGCUCUUAAACAUGGAUUAAUGAAAGGAAAACACGUGUAAAUAUCAUAUCAUGGAAUUGCUAAAAUCUACAAUCUACCCGUUUCAGCUGUAGCUGCAAUAUCUGCGGGAAAUGACCAGUUUAUUGGAGAUCUUAUUGCUGAAGCCGUUGAAAAGAUUGGUCGUGAUGGAGUAAUCUCAAUUGAAUCAUCUUCCUCUUUUGAUACCCUAAUAGAAGUCCAAGAAGGAAUGAAGGUAUCGUCAUUUGAUACCGUAAAUGGUGCUGAUACAUCCUUUCAGAAAUCUCUAUUUACGCAUGUAAACCUGCAAGAUCUUAUUUUUCAUAUAUACCCCUUAAAAGCUUAAUUUGUUGUAAGAAAUAUCAUUUUCAAGGGGUAUGUAUGAAAAUUUAAAUUUUAAUGAAAUAGAAAUACAAAUUGAUGAUUUUGCAGGAAUGCAUACAUGCACACAUACAUAUAUUUGUAUGUAUUUGUGUAUAUAUGUAGGAGCUGCUAAAGUUUUUUAUUUGCUUCUCUUUUACUUCCUAUGCAGAUAGACAAGGGGUAUAUAUCUCCACACUUCAUCACAAACCAGGACAAAUCGAUCGUGGAGUUUCAGAAUGCUAAAGUUCUUGUAACCGAUCAAAAGAUCACAAAUAUUAAAUCCCUAGUUCCUUUAUUGGAAAAGACCACUCAGCUAAGCGUGCCAUUAUUAAUCAUCUCUGAGGAUAUCUCAAGCGAAGUGCUUGCAACUCUCGUCCUAAACAAACUGCGAGGAGUGUUGAAUGUUGCGGCGAUUAAGUGCCCUGGUUUCGGAGAAGGAAAGAAGGCUCUUCUCCAAGAUAUUGCUCUCAUGACAGGUAAACUUAAAUAUCCUUUGCUUCAUCACUUAUUUAGAUAAUACAAUUUGGUUAAAAUGUGUAGUGACACCCCCAACCAUAUUUCUUUUUAUAGACAUUUGGCUAAAUUGAAUUGAGAAUUCGUAAAAUUUUACGGCUUUGUUAGCCAUAAAAUUUGCAGUCCCAUCAGCUGAAAAAACAUUCAGAAAUUCUACCGAAUCUGUUUCCUAUGUAAACCUUAUUUUGGCAACAGGUGCACUUCCUGGUGCUAGUUAAUUUCUUUAUUCUGCAAUUAAACAGGUGCAGAUUUUCUCGCUAGCGACUUGGGCUUGACGCUUGAAAGCGUGACUUCGGACCAGCUAGGUAUUGCUCAGAAGAUUACUAUAACAAGUAAUUCGACGACCAUCGUCGCAGACCCAAUAAUGAAAGAGGAGAUUAAGGCGAGAAUUUCCCAAAUAAAGAAAGAUAUAAGUGACACAGACAGUGCUUAUUUAUCAAGGAAGCUGUCUGAAAGAGUUGCAAAGCUUUCAAGUGGUGUAGCCGUGAUCAAGGUUUUUUUCCUAAUUUCUUCUCUUUUCUUUUUUUCUUGGGGGUGGAUUCUGAGUACAUACAAAUGAUAUUUAGGUAGGAGCACCCACUGAAGCUGAACUUGAGGACAGGAAACUUAGAAUUGAAGAUGCAAAGAACGCAACUUUUGCUGCCAUAGAUGAAGGUAUAGCACCUGGUGGUGGGGCCACUUUUGUACAGUUAUCAAAGCAAAUUCCCCAGAUUAAGGAUCUUAUUGAUGACCCAGACGAGAAGAUUGGAGUUGACAUAGUUGGAAAGGUUUGAUUUCUUUUAAUCUUUUAACGACAAAUUACUUUAUUCACCUCACCUGACAAUUUUUGAAAUAUCCUUGAAAUGGAACAGUUUUAGAUUUACGGGUUAAUCCCGAAGUAAUAAUUUACCAUCCUAACUUCUAUUCUUUUGAAGUCAACAUGACAACAUGGCAACUUAACUUUGAACAUUUUCGUUUGUGAUACCAUAUAAUUGCCAUCUAUCCACAAGAAAGCAAAGCUCAAAGAUACAGGCCUUACUCUCUGUUUAGGACAAUUGCCUUUUGUCGUAGUUUUAUUUGUCAAAAUUUUCCUUGUGAUUGCCAUUUUUAUACCAUGUUAGCAACUUUUGGACUUACAUGUUGAUUAGAUGGGAAUUGCCUUCCGAUUCAACCAAGAAAUCUAAAGGAAGGGUAAUAUUGUAACAAAGUUCAAAGUUAGGGAUCCAAUUGUAUCAAUUGAAAGUUGAGGACCCUGGUGUAAUUUAUACAAUAAGAUCAAAUCAAAUUGCUGAUAACCCACCUUGGUACGUUGCAACCCUUUUAUUUUCUCUCCCGUAAAAUUAGCUUUCUUUAAAAAAAAAACAAUUAGCGAAGAAUGAAAUGCUAAUUUGAGUGAUUUCAUGUUUGCCAAUUUUAAAAUUUUUUUUUUCCUUUUUAAAUAAUUCCAGGCACUUCUUACACCCGCUAUGACAAUAGCUCACAAUGCGGGGCUCGAUGGUUCGGCUGUCGUUGAGAAGCUCCUUUCUAGUGAAUGGCUUAUCGGGUAUAAUGCAAUGACUAACAUGUACGAAAACCUCCUUCAAUCUGGUAUUAUCGACCCAGCUAGGGUUUCAAGGUGCGCACUUCAAAAUGCAGCUUCUAUAACUGGAAUGAUUCUAAUGACGCAAGCUAUUAUGGUCGAUAAAGUAAAGAAGCCUGCACCUCCUUUUCCUUUAGUUCCUGGUAUUACCCCAUAGAUGUAGAAUAUACAAAAAGGGCUUUUAAUAGAAAAGCCAGGGAAGAGAAGUUAUUUUCAUCGCAUAGGCUUUCUCGACUUUGCAAAUCGGCUUUUCGAGAACAAAAAGGGGAAGGUUGAACCAGUAGCGUGAACAGAUAGGGCUACGCGAGAAUUGCUGGAUUCACGAGCUGUUUAAUCGCGAGUUUAUUUUCAAAGCAGAAGAGCGUCUACUGAGGAGCACUUUUGUUGUAAGUGAAGUUAUCCUCUGCUUUUUGCAUGCUAUUGUGCUUGUAUUGUUUUUCUUGCUAAUUACUUAGGAAUGAGUUGUGAUUUUUGGUUUUUUUUUUUACAUGCUUCAAUAGGUCCGCUCGCAUUUUUAUUUCUCAAUAUAUCUCAUGAAUGGCGUGCUUAUAACUUUGCACAUAACCGCUUUUUCACAUUUCAUAUUGUUUGCACAUUCCCUUCAAUUCUCUUUUAUUUCAAUACGUCGGAGCUUUUUGAUUAUUUACAAAAUUGCUCAUGAUUGGACCCUCUAUUUGAAUUUCGCAAUUUUAGGGCAUCAUUUGCCUAACAUUCAGUGGUCUCAAAGUUGACUCUCUUUAAUGGCUAAUAUAAGGUCAAUUUGAGACCACUUGAUCACUAAAGAUCAUGUUUGACAAUGCAGAUUGUCGAUUUUGAUACGUUGCAGCCAAAAGCGGCGUCUACUUUUAAACGUAUUCUAGUUUUAUUAUAAUUGGACUCAAAUUAGUUUACUCCCAUAGAAAAGAAAUUAGAUUUUACUCUAGUGCUUGCUCUAAAAGCACUAUUCCAUAGCAAUUCAUCCAACAGCAUUAUAUUUUCUGGUUGAGAAUGAUGAUCCCUGUCUCACCAUUGGCUACCUCCCUAUGAAAUUUUUGAUUCUUUAAUGCUUAUUAAGUCUAGAAGCUUCUAGAAUCUAGGGAAUCUUCUAUUUGCUCAUCUAUACCUCUGUAUACCUAUACAUUGUUCUCCCUAAAUUUGCCACAUGCCGAUGUUUCCUUCAUUGUUGGGUGUCGGCUCUAUCCCGAACCGAUUCAAGUCUUUCACUUUUUUUUUUUUUUUUUGCUUAAAUAAAAUCGAUUUUUUUUUUUUUAUUUGUUUGAACCGAAUCAAUCAUUUGUUUAGUGUGGAUUUUUCCAAACCAGCUUAAGCCCUCAACAUGUUUUUUUCUUUCUUUGUUCGAACCAAAUCGGAUUUUUUUUCUGCAUUGAGCCGAGCUAUUUCUCUAACACUUCCUUCGGUUGCUACCUUCUUUCAUCGGUAAGAUUAAUUUCAUCCUUUAUCGUCGCUACUUUCAUCGCUAUUUCCUCUUCUUUUGUAACCAUUUUUUAUUUUUUCUCUAAUUAUCUACUCGUCACAUCACAUAAAUUACUGUACUAGUGUUUCACUAAUUGUCAUGUAUGUAGUGUACGCUUAUUUCUAAAACCAUUUUAUUUUGGUCAUAAGUGGACUUCUAUGCCGACAAAGUAGAACCUUCUAUUCUGGUUUGACUUUAUUAGGGAUGCAAACGGGACGGAUCUGCGAGCGAAAAGGGUUUCCAACCUACUGCUUCAUUUUCUUAACAAGUCGGGAUGAAUUACCGACCGUCCCUAGAGCAAGUGGCAAAGGGCUCAGUGGCUGGUACCCGAGACCCAAGUUCGAAUCCCAGUUGAUUCACAUUUCUUGCUAAGUUUAUUUCUAAAUGAAAUAAAUGAAGUAGGUAGCGUACUACCUAUUUCUCAAAGUCGGGACGAAUUUGGGAUGAAUUACUAUUUUAUUCGGGACGGAUCGAAAGAAGAAGCUGUACUCCAUUUUGCUCUGGACGGUUUUCUUUCCAUCACUGAUGUUUAGUUUUGAUAAUGUGUUAUCAACCGCAUCCAAUUUUAUAUUUUUUAAAAGGUCAAAAAAAAAAUUCAUAAAUUUUGAAUAUUGCUUUUUUAUAAAUCGAGCAUCGGUCAUUUCUCGACCGUUGAUUAUUGAGAUUAUUUUGUAUUGUUUUAUGCAUCAGAGUCCUUUUGGACGGUGUAGAUCGCAUGCAUCCGAUGGAUUUUGAUUCUGAGACGUUGAUCAUUCGGAGCCGUGAGUGGUGGUGCAUGAGAUGUACGGAUGCACCUGGUGCAGGCAAUAAUUUGUUGUCCAACUUCCAACGGGUUUAGACCGAUCGCUCAGCCGUUGAUCUGCGGCAGGAUGUAUAUCUGAGCCGUCCAUUUCUCGGCCCACAGUUAACGUUCGCUCAAAUUUUCAAACCCGCUGCGGCUCACGGUUUUUUUUUUACUUCCUGCACGCACAUCGAGGCGAGAAUAUCCAAUGGGAUAAGCUCCCUCUCCCCUCCUCAGAAGUUAUCGCCGUGAACUGCGUACACCACGUCAGCCGAAAGACCGGGACCACAAUUUUUUUUUUGUAAGCGUGGGUUUGUGUUGCGUGACACAAAAAUGAACUAACAGUAUGAUAUGUUCGUUUUUUUUAAAAAUGAAUAAUAAAAUUGAGGGCUAAUUUGGAAUUGCGUAGCUAAACUCACUUUUAAAGGUUUUUCAAAAGUGGUUUCAAAUAUAAAAAUAGUUUCAUAUAAUCACUUUGCUUCUUCGUUGAUGGAUAAUAUUACAAAAAUAUUUAAUCUUAUUUUUUUUUAAUUAUAAUUUUUUUUUUCAUAUGAUAAUAUUAAAAAUGUGUACUUGUAUUUUUAUAAGAGACCGGCCCACGGUGGGCCAGGUCUACGGAAAACUUCUUUUUCUCGGCGCAAUGUAGCAACACCAGCCCUUAACGUACGCCCCCCUCCUCCCUAUAUAAACCAAAGCCCCUCCCCUUUUCCCUCUUCCUCCGAGUCUCUCCACCAUUCUCCUCCUCCUCCUCCUCCUCCUCCUCCACCUGAAACCCUAACCCUAACCCCAUCGAUCUCAUUGCUCUCGCUCUCUCUCUCUCUCUCGAUAGAGGACCCAUCAAUGGCGGCGAAGAAGAGCGUGGGGGAUCUGAAGGAGGCGGAUCUGAGGGGGAAGAAGGUGUUCGUGAGGGUCGAUCUCAACGUGCCCUUGGACGACGCCCUGAACAUCACCGACGACACCCGGAUCGGCGCCGCGGUGCCCACGAUCAAAUACUUGGUCGGGAACGGCGCCAGGGUCAUCCUCUGCACCCACCUGGUGAGCGUGAUCUCUCUCUCUCUCUCUCUCUCUCUCUCUAGAUCCUCCCUUUCGCGCCCUUUUGAUUUGAUCCCUUCUGCUUGUUCUUCUGAUCCUUGUGUUAUUUGUUAAUUUUUUGGUGAAAUGUACGUAUAGUCCCUGUGUUAUCUUGAUACUGCAACUAAGUAAAGAAUCAUUUUUGACCUUUUAGGUGUAUACAAACACUUGGUGAGCGAGAUCUCUCUCUCUCUCUCUCUCUCUCUCUCUCUCUCCAUUCGAUUUGACCUCUUCUUCUUUUUCUUCUGAUCCUUGUUUGUUUGGGUAAAAUGUGUGGAUAAUCCCUGCAUUAUCUUGAUAUUGCAACUUAGUGGCUAAAAUUUUCAAUAUGUCACACUUUAAUCCCCAAUCAUUAAGAAAAAUCUAGUUUUUCUUAUAGAAGAAUCAUUUUUAGCCCUUUAAUCCCUGAUCAUUCAUCAUUAGAUGUCUCUGUCAAGGUUGAUUUACUAUCAGAGUACUUCUAAUGGUUAUAUCAUACUUAUUUGCAACUUGAUCUAAAUUUUAGUCGGAUGUAGAGAAUAUACUAUAAUCAUUGAUGCAUAUUAUAUUGUAUCUACAUGCAAUUUGACCAAAUUGUAUGCGUGUCAAUACGUCAUCCUAACCAUUGGAACACCAUUUUGCUUUGUUAUUAUAUAAAAAUUCUGAUAUAACUUAUCACAAUAUAUUUAAUUAUAUAUAUCGACCACAAACUGCAAAUUUGCUAGAGCUUCCUUCUUUUACUUUUAUUUUUUGUUGUCUUAGUAAUGUUUUCAUUUUGCUUUUUAAGCCAUCUCUAAUGUAGUGACUAAUUUGAUGAAACUCCAUGAAAUUCUUGUGCCUAGAUUCUUCUUAAUUUGAUGCCUAUUCGAUGGUAACUUGCAAUACUAGUCCCUGUAUAUAUAUUCAGAUUUCACUUUGGUCCAUAACUUUUAAAGUUGUGGAUUUGAUACCCCAAGCUUUUGAAAAUGUUCCACUUUGGACCUUAUUCCCAUCUCUAUUAGAAGAGGAAAAAAAAAAAAAACAAAAAAAAAAACAUUGCCUGUGCCCAUCCCUAUAGUCAUGCAGUACCAUUCAUCCAUCGGCCCAUGAUCUCAUCUCAUUUUCCAUUAGCUACCUCCUCUUUCUAAUGGAAAAUUGGACAUUUGUAUUGUAAGUACAAGAUUGAUGGGGGGCAAACGGAUUUGUGGUCCAAAGAUGUGCAGUUGUACCAGUUGUGGGCAAUAAUAUUUCCUCUAACAAUAGAUGGCUAGAAGGAUUAAGUGAAUCAUUUCAAAAAUUCGGAGUGUUACUGAAAUCUAACCUUAUCAACUUAAUUAUUGUUAAGAAAAAUAAAAAUUCUCGUCCUCACAUAAUAGGUAAUACCCAUAAAACAAAAGAUAUGUUCCUGCAUCAUUUGUUGCCCUUAAUCCUCCUUCCUCGCUAUUGUGGGGUCUCGAAUUUUUUUUGUAGGUUGAGUUUGUAUUUAGAUGCUUACUAGCUGAAUUUUCACAUGAUCCAUGCAAAAAUGAUAGACCUCACAUAUUUGAAUUGGAAUAGUUUGAAGUAAUUUAAGUCCCUUUUUAUUCAAAAGAAAGGGGAAAGCAAUUCUCUUGAAAGGUUGCAUUAUUUACAUUAGAGUUCGUUUUCUAAGGAAAUGGAAUUCCUAAGAAAAGUUUUCAGAUCUUAAUCUCAUUAUUGGAUGUGAUCAGAAGUAUUUAACAUUUUCAACGUCGUUAACAUUUCAAUUUUUUUUUUUUUUUUUCUGAAGACCAAGUGGCUUGACAGUUAUAAUUGGAAUCUCAUAGCUGUAUAUUAUUAGUUUUUAAUUCAUGCUGGCCUGUAUAGCUUGCUUCUUAUUUCUAUAUGCUUUUCUUACGUUGGGUACUGUAGAUGCUAAUACAUUUCGAUUACUUUGACGGAAUACAUUUAUGAACUUCAGUAGUAAGACUGGCUAUCACAUGCCAUCAACACUAGGUAAUGUAAUAUUCUCGUCCAAGGUAGAAAAAUGUUGCUUUGAUAGUAAGUUAAUUAUUGUUCUAAAAUUACUCUUCAGUCUUUCUGUUAUUUAUCCAUCAGUUAUCUCAUGAAAAAAAUGCUUUCCUUAAAUAUUUUCAUUUCCAGUCUCAUACUUCAAUUUUUCUUUUCUUUUUUUAAAUUUACAGAAUUAAUGGAUGUGAUUUUGACUUUCUAGGGCCGCCCUAAAGGUGUCACUCCAAAGUACAGCUUGAAGCCUCUCGUGCCGAGGCUAUCAGAACUUCUUGGAGUCAAUGUAUGUGGAAUCUGCUCUCUAAAUAGUUGUUUUUCUUAAAUAUGAUAAUCAAAGCGCAGUAUGGUUGUUUGUAUAUGUACCUACCUCUGCAGAUAUGUGAAAUUGCAAAACAAUCCUUGCGAAGUUAGUAUUUAUGCCUGUGAAAAUCAUACUUAAUCGCAUUCAUUCCGUUGCCGGGCAAAUAAAUAAGGUUUUCAAGGGCACAUGUGAAAAUACUAACUUCGUGGGGAUUUUUGUGUAAUUUUACAUAUUUGCACGGGUAUGUACACGAAAAACCCCUAUAAUUUCUUUCUUCUGAUCCCGCGCAACAACAAUAGCAGCUAAGCCUUUAGUCCUCAACUAUUCUAUUCCAAGUUGGAUAACUUACUGUUCAACAUAAUACAUGUUAAACAGGUCGUGAUCACGAAUGACUGCAUUGGUGAAGAAGUUGAAAAAACGGUGGACACAUUGCCAGAUGGUGGCGUUGUACUUCUUGAGAAUGUCCGAUUUCAUAAGGAAGAAGAGAAGAAUGAUCCCGAGUUCGCUAAGAAGCUAGCAUCGCUCGCGGACCUCUAUGUGAACGAUGCCUUUGGCACCGCCCACAGAGCUCACGCCUCGACCGAGGGAGUCACCAAGUUCUUGAAGCCGGCGGUCGCUGGCUUCCUUAUGCAGAAGGUAUAUUUUUCAGUUUGGUCCUUUAAAAGCAAUUCUUUAUUAUAUUCCAAUUCAUUUAAGUAAAUUAUAACACAUGUCGCUAAUUUAAUUCAUGUAGCAGUAGUAUAAUCUAUGUGAAACAAAGCUUGCACUGAAAUUGCUUCUUCUUCUUUUUUUUUUUGAAGGAACUUGAUUACCUUGUUGGGGCCGUGGCGAACCCUAAGAAGCCAUUUGCGGCCAUCGUGGGUGGAUCUAAAGUAUCAACGAAGAUCGGAGUGAUCGAAUCAUUGUUAGGAAAGGUCGAUAUCCUUCUUCUCGGCGGUGGGAUGAUCUACACGUUUUACAAGGCGCAAGGGUACUCUGUCGGGUCGUCACUGGUUGAAGAAGACAAGCUCGACCUAGCGACUUCUCUUCUAGAGAAAGCGCGCUCCAAAGGUGUUUCUCUCUUGCUGCCCACCGACAUUGUGGUAGCCGAUAAGUUUGCUGCGGACGCAGCCAGCAAGGUUUGUUCCUCCACUGAAGUCGUCUUUUCUCUUUUCCUUCUGAUAUUCUAGGGCUUCUUUGACCCGGGUUUCGAAACCUGUAGUGAUAUUGACUGCACUAAAAUUGUUAAUGACGGAGCAAGUUUUUCGCAGCUGGUCACGUCUGUCGCGUUGUGAACACUCACCAGCUUCAGUGAACUUGCUUUGUCGCUAUUAUCCUCAGCUGCAUCAAUUUCACUGCACUUUUGAAACUUCUCUACUUGAGAAGCAAAAGCCCGAAAUGCUCCAGGAGCGGCUGGCUUUGAUUGUGAGUAGAAAUGAGUUUCUUAGCGCCCUACAAAUCGAAGCAUUAAUUUUAAGCGCAACUUGUAUUUACUGAUGGCUGUCAAUUUGGAUUCGAUAUCUUUAUUUAUUUACUUUUAUCUAUACAUUUAUUUGGACCUUUUGUUUUGUAGGUCGUACAAGCGUCGGAAAUUCCAGAUGGCUGGAUGGGUCUCGACAUCGGACCCGACGCGAGCAAGACAUUUAAUGAAGCCCUGGAUACCACCAACACCAUCAUUUGGAACGGACCCAUGGGCGUGUUCGAGUUCGAGAAGUUUGCUGCGGGAACCGAUGUAAGCGAAUAUAGCAGCUUAUAUAUAACACAAAGAUUGGAAGAAUAAAAAAAACCUAUUAAUAUUGUUAAUUUCACAUUGCCCCUCUGAUAUUCCAAAACCGACAUUUUACCCCCCGAUGGAGCACCGACGAAAGAGGCAAAGUGGUGAAAUCUUGUAGUCUCAGGGGAUGCUGUAUAGAUUCGAUUAUUUCGAGGAAAGUGAAUAUAUCGAUACUUAAAGAAAUGCGCUAAAAUUGUGAAUUCAGAAAAAAAAAGAAAAGAAGAGAAAGUACACUAUUUUUCUGAAUUCAAAUAAUUGGAUCCUUUUUUUUUUUUUCUUCUUUUAGGAAGGCUCAGUCUAUUAUGUUGAUAUUAGAUUUAAACGAUCUAUAAUUUCCACAGGCGAUUGCGAAGAAGCUGGCCCAGCUCAGCGCGAAGGGCGUCACCACGAUCAUCGGGGGCGGUGACUCCGUCGCCGCAGUGGAGAAGGCGGGCCUGGCAGACAAGAUGAGCCACAUCUCAACGGGAGGCGGCGCGAGCCUGGAGUUGCUGGAAGGCAAGUCGCUCCCGGGAGUCCUCGCUCUCGACGAUGCUUGAGCACAUGGCGAAAACAUAUUCGUCUUCGAGAUUAAGAUAGCUUGUGUCGCAGUUUUUGUAUAUGGGUUUCGAAAUAAAGUUAAGCCUAUAACCGAGGCGAGCGAGAUGAAGCAAGCGCUUGAGACAAGUAGUUCUCAUUUUGAUCACAAUGGCUCUUGGCUCAAGCUUUAUGAUCAAGAAGUUCAUUGUGGUGUUUUGCAUUUUGUAAUGUUGAUGUGAAUCUUUAACUGGUGGAUGAAACCAAGAAGAAUUCACCUUUUUUGUAACUUUGGAUGUUUAAGUUUAUGAAUCCAUCUGUAAUUUCAUAAAAUCCGCGAAACGAAUUAUGCUGUGGAUUGAUUGGUUUGCAAACUUGCAAUUCAUUUCGAUGUACCGCCGAUUGACGGCUUUAUUCGCUAUUUGAAGUUUGAACUUCUGCAAAAAUGUUGUUUGAGGUUUAGAACUACUCAACCGCAGCAGAAAAAAAAAAAAAAAAGGUGAGUUUUUUGAAAAGGGAGAAAUGUAUGCUAAAACUUUCAAUUUUGAUAAUUAAAUUUUCUGAAACUUAUCAAAUAAUUUAAUAGGCUCAUCUUUUUAAUUAAAGGUUAUUAAUAAUACAACCAUUUUUGCGGUGCGACUGUAUAUAAUUUUAUAAAGCUUUAAGACAAAAAAAAAUUAUUUCUUGUAAUCUAACAAAUAAAAUAAGAACAAAAUUUUAAGGUAGAUUCGUCCUAUUCUAUAAUUCUCACGCGUAAUUAUUUAAAAUUAAAAAUAAGAAAGAAUAGGUUCUUUUUAUAUUUUGAAUUCUUAUAAGAUUAUGUGCACGACAUGUGUCAAAAUCAACUGUGUAUAAUUAGUGAUUUCGAUUGAGACGCAGAGCCUAUCAAUCUAUUCGAUAAGAGGGUCUAAUUACUAAAAUUGAAAGUUCAAUUGUCUGUUUAUAAAAGAGCUAAAUGUUUGAUAUAUUUCUUCAUUUUGAAAUGUUGUAGCAUGUAAAAAGUGAAGUUCCAAGUAGGUUUCCGAAUGGUCUUCAACAUAUAGGCUUUAAUGCCUAUUUAGCUGAUCUUUUCAAACAGCUUCUCUUCUCAUGAUUCAGGAGUCAAACGCUUGUUAGACAAAAAGCACAAAACUUUGCGACCAAGACCAGAAGCCUCCACUCAAGCUUUUGCUUUUACAAAACCAGUAAAGCAGGAAAAGUUUUAGUGUUUGUUCAAACUCAAACAAGACAUGAAUACAAAUUUCAACAUUCAACCAUAGACUUUAUCUAGAAAAAAAAAGCUCUUUUCUCUUCUCAAUCAUUUUCACUGGGCUCAAUUUCCAAAGUGCUCUUUGAAAGAGAUUAGCUUUUACUACAAAUGGUGGAAAGAGAAGUAAUCCUUGAACAUCAAUUCUAGGGUUUUCUUUCUAGCUAGCUUACUUUAUCCCAUCCAUUUCAAGGUAAUGGUUGGUUCCUUGAACAAGGAUUUAAUUAGUGGAUUUAAUGAUUGGUUAGCAAAAGAGAGAGAUAUGAAAAUACAAAAAAAAAAAAAAGAAAAAGAAAGAAAGGGUGGGGGGUGGUGGAUAAGUUGGGUAUGUCCACACAAAGCCAAAGAAUAAGGCAUUUAAGUAGUUUUACAAAAUUGGGGAAUUGCUAACAACCACAAGUUUCAUCAAAUAAUACAAUUAUUAAUAUAAUAUAAGGAGAAAGUUAAUCGAUUAAAAAGUUCUCCUAACUCUUCAAUGCUUGAUUGACCCACUCCUUUAUAUCUAAUAAAUUAAAAUUUUAUAUCAUGUUUUUUCACUAAAGUGUCGAUAACUUUCGAGAAUAUAUUAGCUAGAUAGGGUGGUUUUCUGGAGAUUUUUAGUAUCGAAGAGGUAAAGUGCAGAUUCUGCUUAAGUCCAGUUAUUAUUACUAGCGUGUAUGCCUCGUAUAAACAAUAUCCCAUCUGAUGUAGGAUUAUCAAAUUACCAAGCGAUGUGAGAUUUUAGAAGUGGCUCCUACGACGCACUUAGCUCUCACACUUCCGGCUGAUAUUCGGCUGAUACCAAUUAUAACGACCCGACCCUCUAGCAAUAAUAACUCGUUAGGUCCAAACCACCGGCCCAAAAUAUUUAAGCCUGGUUAUUAUUACUAGCGUGUAGGCCUCAUAUAAACGGAUUGAAAUCAGUAUCCCAUCCGAUAUGGAAUUAUUGGGGCGUUGCAAUAUAUGGCUUUGUAAUUGUAUUAGAUGAGUGUUUGUUCAUGCACUUGUAUGGUAAGAAAUUCAUUACAUAAACAUUUCUUUUUAGAGAGAAAAAUAAAAAAUUUAAAAUCUUCAAAAUAAGACAGGAUGAAGCAACCAAACAUUGGAAAAAAAAAGGGUAAUGUUUGCAUCAUAAGUUUUGAAGAUUAUCUACCAACAUAUAUAUAUAUAACAUCGAUCUCACACUGAAAGGGAAAAUAAUUGUACAACAUCAUGACACUGAUAUUUAAUGUGAAAGCUUUCUUUUUCAAUUGUAUUGAUUUGUCGAUUAUUUGCAACCACAAAUAUAAUGCUACAACUUGUCACCAAAAUUCUAAGUUAAGUAUUUCUAAGGAGAUAUAAUACAAGAGAAUUUAUAGGUUAAUUAAUUGGCAUAAUAAUAUUAUUCUUAUGUAUGUAUGAACUUAGCGUGGUGUUAAUUAAUUGACAACAUUAAGAUUCAACUAAAUUUUGAAUUGUUGUUCUUCUUUUGGAUUUCAAUUAGUAGUAGCAAGCGGCGAACAUAAUAUGCGAUAUUUAAAUUCUAUUAAUCUUAUGUAUACGUGCAUUCGAGGAAGAGAGUAUAUGAACAUCUUAAAAUCUCAAUUUGCUCUUGACGAUUUCGAACCGAAAAUGAUGGAUUAAUUCGAUCAAGUUUGAUAUAUUGAGGUGGCUUGAUACAUAUAAUUAGACUCAUACAUACAUUGAGCUUCUUUUUAAUUAGUUUUUUUUUUCUUGGUUUUUUAUACAACUCACCAUAUAUAUAUAUAUAUAGAAGAAAAUCACAAACAAGAGGUCGAAGGUUAAAGAACAGAAGGGAGCUUAAUUAAAAAGGUCGGUGAAUGAAUUAAAUGAAGAAAUAUACAGUAGCAUAUAUAUAUAUAUAUAUAUAUAGAUAGAUAGAUAGUAGUAUAAAAGAAAGAAGAAGAAAUAAGAGUAGGUUGCAGUACACACACCUGUAAAUCUAUUUGGUGUAGGAUAUGCAUGCAGGUGAAUAAGCAGCAGCUCUAUGAUCUCCUCCAAAUCCUUUUGUUGGUUGUGAGUUGUUGAAGCUGCAAGAUGAUCUGAUGAGAGUUUACAACUCCCUUUUCCCUUGCCCUCUCUCUCUCCCUUUCUAAGACUCUCUCUCUCUCUCUCUAAGACUCUCUCUCUCUCUCUCUCUCUAAGACUCUCUCUCUCUCUCUCUCUCUAUAUAUAUAUAUAUAUUAUAUAUGUAAAUAUAUAGCUAUUGACAUGCUUUAUGCCUUUCUAUGUAGCAACCCUAGCUAACUUUGUUGGCCUCAAUAUGAUUUGAUGGUCAUGUAACCUCACAAUUUUGUCAUGCCAAAACAAGCUCAUCCAUCUCUCUCUCUCUCUCUCUCUCUCUCUCUCUCUCUCUCUCUCUCUCUCUCUCUCUCUCUCUAGUGUGGUUUUUUGCAUGAUAGCUACAGAGACUAAAACUUGCAGAGAUCAUUUUAAGUUCAUUCACCAAUAUUUCACAGCCCUGAAAACUCUCUCUCUCUCUCUCUCUCUCUCUAUAGAUCUUUCUCUAUAUAUAUAUAAAAGAAAAUAUGAAAUAUAUAUAAGAAUCAUUUUUUUUAAAGCAGUUUCUAGGAAACGGAGCUUCGACCGCGUUUCGAUGACCAGAUCAUGCUGGCAGCUUCAACGCCUCCAACCAACAAAGCUAAAUCAGCCAAAAGGCAAGAGAGUAGAGAGUGUAGGAUCGAUGAGAACGAACAUUCAGAAGAUUAAAAGUAACACAGAAAUUUGAGGAGUUGCAAUAGAAAUUGACUAAUACGCAGUGCACGAAGCCUUUUGUAUUCUCUCCUAUACUAUACUAUCAUGUGACUCCUUUUAAAGUCACUCCAUAGACCAUGUCUCUAUCUACCUCAACUCCUAUCUACUCGCACCAUAUCUCUUGGAGAAAAUUUUAAUGGUGGUUUUUGACACUUCAAUAUACAAAGCUUUUGAUAGUGACCUUUUUAUUGAUAAACUGGUAUUAGAUCAUAAACUUAUGAUUAGACUACAACCGCACUUAAUUUAAAUAAAAAUUAUAACGGAAACUAGUUAUUAUAUAAAUUAAGUUCAAUAUUAUUUUGUAAUAAUAGCAACAAUAGUAGUAUAUAAUAAAUCAAAUACGAACGAAAUGACCUAUAGGAAAAUUUAUAAAGAGUACUUUUUAAAGCAUGUAAUUUUUUUUAGGGGCAAUUGCCUAUAUACCCCUGAAAAGUUUCCGGUUUUCUUAUAUACCCCUCUUAGAAGGCUAAUAUUGAAAAUAUCCUUCUCAUGUUCCAAGUCUUUCUAAUAUGCCCCUGGAGUUAAGCUCCGUUAGUGAGCUGCCGUUAUCUCUGUAAAAUUACCAUUUUGCCCAUUCCAAUAUACCCUUCUACCGUAACUAACUUUUCUUAUAUACCCUUUAUAUAGCAAAUAUUUUUCUUAUUUGCCCUUCAAAUAUAAAUUAAUUAAUUAAGCACGUCGAGAUUGAUCGCAGUUAAACCAACUUUGGUAGCUGGAGGCAUAGUUAGUUAAUUCGGAUUCGGCAAAAAUUCAGUAGUGAUAUAAUUUGGAUAAAAUUCGUCUUUUAAUUUUUAAAUUCGUUAGUUAAUUCGGAUUCGGCAAAAAUUCGGUAGGGAUAUAAUUCGGAUAAAAUUCGUCUUUUAAUUUUUAAAUUCGUUGAAAAAUACGGCUAAAAAACGGAUUCGGCAGUUAUUCGGAUACGUGAUUUAUACAGGUAUUAUACGUUCACCAAUUAAAAAUUCGGGAUCAAAUAUCAAUUUUAUAUAUAAAUUUUAAAAAUUCGGUAUUAUACUAUAUAUAUUAUUUUUAUAAUAUUUAAUAAUAGAUUAAAUAUAUUUAAAAUUAUAAUAAACUUAUAUUAAUAAUAUAUAAGAGUUAUAUAUUUAAAAAUAUUAAUAAAUAAUUACAAAUUUAUAAAUAAAAUAUUAUAUAAUAAUAUUUCUAUAUAAAAAUAAAAUACUAUAUGAAUAAAUCUAUUAGUUAUUAUUAUUAUUAUUAUUAUCAGAAAACAUGACAGUUGAUUUACAGGAACAUAGUUAUUAAAUAAUUAAGCGCUAAUUACUUAAUAAUUGUCAUUAGUGACAUGAUGAUAUGUACAGCUAAUAGGGGUGGUUUAGACUUUAGAUCGAGCACCUGGGGGGCGACGAUGUGGCGCAAAUGCAAGGAGACCUGGCCCUCGUCCCCAUCCUCGUGCGCGUGCCUGUGCGCGUGGCCGUGGGCGUGGCCGUGGUGGUGGUGGCUGUGGCCGUGCGCCGCCGCGUGCGCGCGCAUCCUGACGAUGUGCACCGCGUUGCCGCCCUUGGCGAAGCCCUCGUUCUCGUCCUCGUCCACGGGUGGCUCCAGCGCCGCCGUGGUGAUGGAGCGCCCCUCGUCGUCCUCUGCCGUGGCGUCGGUCUCGGCGGUGGCGGCGGCGCGGUGCUUGCGCUCGUAGAACUGGGUGACGAGGAAGUCGAGGACGAGGGUGGCGAGGGCGGCGGCCAUGGCGACGAAGCCGGAGAAGGGGAAGCGGAGGAGGCAGGGGUCAGUGAGUGCGGCCUCGACGUCGUGGAGCAUGUGGACGAAGCCCGUGGUGAGGAUGAUGCCUGCGGCGAAGGUCUUGGCGAGGGCGAAGAACCCGCUCUCCGUGCUCAGGAGGCGCCGCCGCUUCCGCCCCGCCGGCAGCGGGAGCCGGCGACAUGGAGGCGGAGGAGCCGGCGAUCAAGUUGGGACUUUGGGAGAGAAAGAGGAUAACUUAAGGAAUUGGCAUAAUAAGUUAGGGGUAAAAUAGGUAUUUUAUAUAGGUUUUAACUCUAGUAUACAUUUAACUCAUGUUUAACUCGAGUUAAGCUAACAGGGGAUAACUGCGGGGGUGUUUUGGAAUAACGGUGGAACAUAUGAGGGGCAUUUUAGAAAGAAAAAAAAAGUAGGGGUAGAUCGGAUAUUUCCGAACGCAUGAGGGGUAUAUAGGUAAUUAUCCCUUUUUUAAUAUAGUUAUUCCAACUAAAAAUUCUUAAUUAUUUCUCUUUGUUUGGCACUCCGUUUGUCUAUUACUGAUUACAUUUUAAUUUCUAAAACUCAAAAUUUUUAUUCUCUUGUCUUGUAAUUUAGAUUUAACAACAAUAUUAUUGUAAUCAAUCACCAUUUUUAAUUAUUCACAUAAAUAUUAAGCAUGAUUACGUCACGUAAGCAUGUAGAAGGAAAGGUUUUAGCCAAUGAUAAUGACUUGUCAACUACCAAUGGAUGGUCCUUUAGAUUCUUUUAGUUACUAACGUUAAGCAUAAUAAUUGUCCUAAUAGCAGUAGUACUUCUUGUUGUCAUUGGAUUAUUGUCCUAGUGUUAUUAUAUUGUCUCGCAAAAAAAAUUAAGCAUUUGCAUGCUCUUCUUUUAACUCUCUACCUUUUAAAAACUUUGAAGGCUCCACAAUAACACAUAAUAUAUAUAUAAUCAAGAAUAAUCGGUGCCAACUGUUCCAACAAUUACCUGAUAAAUUUCGAAAAAUAUUAAGUCUACAGCCCAUUUUGCGUUACAAUCUAUACAACCCUUCGCCCCGGUGUUAUCCAUACAAAUAAAUUAAUUGACAGUUUCUUCUGUACACGUGUCCACUCCUCCUUUCUUCUGUUCUCUCUUCAUCUCUUCUCUCUCCUCCCUCCCAUACCAAAUAUGAAUUUUAUGAUUACAUCUUAGGAAGAUAUCAAAUCUUUCCAAAUCCACCUCGAGAAGGUACCAAAUCUAUACAAUGAUUACACCUUGGAAAGGUACUAAAUCUUUCCAAAUCUACCUCGACAAGGUACCAAAUCUAUCCAAUGAUUACACCUCGGGAAGGUAAUAAAUCUUUCCAAAUCCACCUCGGAAAGAUACCAAAUCUAUCCAAUUUUUUUUUUUUUGACAAAAUUCUCAUUUCCUUAUCUCGGGAAGGGACAAUUCUCAACUUGAUUCGGGUGUGUAUAUAGGAGAACCUAUACUCAUGAGGUUAGAACCUUGAAAAAAUUUUCUAGUUGCCUCUUCUUCCUCUGUUCCUCAUGCACUAAACUUCACUCUCUUUAUACUAAGUUUUAUAUUUCUUUUGUAUUUUUUCCUGGAUCUCUGCGAGCUACUUGGGUUUAUGUUGUACCAUCCUGAAGACGUGCCGACGAGGUGGAAGGUGAUCGUUGUAUCGCUAGAAGUGUUUGACGGAACCUAUACAAAUAAACUAAUUGACAGUUCCUUCUGUAUACGUGUCCACUCCUCCUUUUUCCUCUUCUCUCUUCAUCUCUUCUCUCUCCUCCUUCCCAUACCAAAUAUGAAUUUCAUGAUUACACCUCGGGAAGAUACCAAAUCUUUCCAAAUCCACCUCGGGAAGGUACCAAAUCUAUGCAAUGAUUACACCUCGAAAAGGUACCAAAUCUUUUCAAAUCCACCUCGAGAAGGUACCAAAUCUAUCAAAUGAUUACACCUCGGAAAUGUUACAAAUCUUUCCAAAUCCAUCUCGGGAAUGUACCAAAUCUAUCCAAAUUUUUUUUGACAAAAUUCUCAUUUCCUUAUCUCAGGAAGGGACAAAAUUCUCAACUUGAUUCGGGUGUAUAUAUAGGAGAACCUAUACUCAUGAGGUUAGAACCUUGAAAAAUUUUUCUAAUUGCUUAUUCUUCCUCUGUCCCUCAUGCACUAUACUUCACUUCUCUUUACACUAAGUUUUACAUUUCUUUUAUAUUUUUUACUGGAUCUCUGAGAGCUACUUGGGUUUAUGUUGUACCACCCUGAAGAUGUGUUGACGAGGUGGAAGGUGGUCGUUGUAUCGUUAGGAGUGAUUGGCGGAACCUAUACAAAUAAACUAAUUGACAGUUCAUUCUAUACACGUGUCCGCUCCUCCUUUCUGCAACUCCUCCUUUCUCCUCUUUUCUCUUCAUCUUUCCUCUCUCCUCCCUCCUAUACCAAAUAAAUAUGAAAUUCAUGAUUACACCUUGGGAAGGUACCAAAUCUUUCCAAAUCCAUCUCGGAAAGGUACCAAAUCUAUGCAAUGAUUACACCUCAGAAAGGUACCAAAUCUUUUCAAAUCCACCUCGACAAGGUACCAAAUCUAUCCAAUAAUUACACCUCAGGAAGGUACCAAAUCUUUCCACAUCCACCUCGGAAAGGUACCAAAUUAACUAUCCAAAUUUGUUUCGACAAAAUUCUCAUUUCUUUACCUCGGCAAGGGACAAAAUCGUCAACUUGAUUCAGAUGUGUAUAUAGAGAACCUAUAUUCUCAUGAGGUCAGGAUCUUGAAAAAAUUUUCUAAUUGUUUUUUCUUCCUCUGUCCUAUGCACUAAACUUCACCUCUUUACACUAAGUUUCACAUUUCUUUUGUAUUUUUUUACUAGAUCUUUGAGAGCUACUUGGGUUUGUAUUGUACCAUCCUGAAGACGUGCCGACGAUGUGGAAGGUGGUUGUUGUAUCGCUAGGAGUGAUUGUUGGAACUUCGCACGCAGAGGGGCAAUCUUGCUUCUAGGUCAGUGUUUUUGCACACUUCGAUUCAAAGGCCUCAUCUUAACCUCUUUUCUCUAUAAUAUUUUCUACUUAAUCCGUCCUUAUAAUUUUUCGAAAACAAAAGUUAAAAUUAUUUUCUUUUAGAAUUGUUUAAAAACUAAAUUGUUCACGCUAAGUAUAUGUUUGUAUAUUAGUGUUAAAACUAUCUACGGUGAAGCGCGGGUUCAACACUAGUAACUACUCUUCUAGGGUUUAGUCAACCAUUUUUGGGUUUUUAGCAUAAAAGAGAGAGAGAGUGAGUGACAAGACUAGUGUAAAAUUUAUGACUUUUGGAUGAGUGUUAAUAAUAUUACAAUCUAAAGGUGGUUGUAAAGGUAGCAUUGCUUAUUUCCUUUUAAUAUUUCUAUGUUAAACUUCAUGCUUAUUUUUCUAUUUGAAUUAAAACUAUCAUAGAAAGAUACACUUAGAAAUGCUAUAUAGAUCCAUAUUAGUAGAAAACAAUGAUAUAAAUGAUAUGAAGCAAAUGAAAUCAACCAAGAGGAUUAAUUGCAUCCCUAUUAAUUCUUUAUCUCUCUCUCUCUCUCAUUAUUUGGGUGUCAUGGUAUUGAUUAGAAAUAGGCAUAGAGACAAUUAAGUCCAUAUGAGGGACCACACCAUUGGUCCAUUGCCCAAUUUGAUUAAUAGGUAGGGGCACAUGGAUGCUAUAUUAUUUUUUUUUUAAAGUGUAGCCCACUAUUUAUAUUGCUGAGCUUUGGUUUUCAUUAAGGUUUGGUUAGGAGAAUGAGUGAUUACAUAGCAAAACCAACAAUUUGAGUUGAAGUUGAAUCAAAUAAGAUGAUGAUCUAUUCAAAUUGGUUGACAUUUGAAGCUGUUUUAUUGAAAAACAAUAAAUAAGGUUGAGGAUUCUAUUUCUGUUCAAUUACAAAACUUUUCAAUUGAGAAAAAGUUCUCGUUGGAUCUUCCUUGCUUGUUAGAGAUAUCAAAUUAAUCGACAACCCUUACUUGAAAUCGAUCCCCUCAUCUAGGGCUCAAACCUGUGAAUCGUAAGAGCUAACCAGCUAUUUCAAAAGCACGCCAACAAUCCCCCUAUUGUCAUGUAAUUAGCUGUCACAAAAGCACCCGAGCAGUCCCUGGCUAUUGUCACCGGACAAGAAGUUGGAUUUAUUUUAGCAAAUAAUAAAUAGCAAACAAUCUCCCUUCAAACAUUUGUACCGUUAAUGUAGGCAUAUGGGAAUCAAACCAACGUCACUGGCUCCGAUACCACUUAUAGAUUGUAAGAGCUAACCCAAUAUCUCAAAAGCACGUACUAAUAGAAAGGUCGUAUCCAUCACAUUUAAGAGCUCUUUAACCUGACUCAACCCGCUAAAUCGUUAGGUCUAUUGUUGGAUUUCUUGCCGUUAGGUCUAUUUUUGACCAAUGCCUCACUCUACUUAUUAGGUUCAUCCAACUCAACUUAUUAAUCUAUAGGGUCUAUUGUCACGCGACAGAAAAUUAAACCUAUUUUAACUAAUAAUAAAUAGCCAAUAGAACCCUCUUGGAUGUCCUACCAAUGGAAUACCGAUAGUCCGAUAGAAAAAUGCAUAAAUACAUUCAUAUACGUACACGAAGAAUUUGCAGAUCGAAGAAGUUUCUAAUUGUAUAAGAUAACUUAGUUAAACUAUAUGAAACAAUCAUUAUUUUUUAAAACGUAAGCUAUGAAGGAUAGUAUUUUUAUAUUUAUAUUCAACAAAUUUGUAGUAUAAGAGCAAACCCUUUUUAUUCCAAACGAAAUUAGGUUAAUUAACUUCAUACUGCAUGGUUAAUUAGAAUCUAGAAUAAAACCAAUUUGAUUCCAUUUAAAAGAAAAACCCACAAAACCGAACCGAAUCGACCUGAUUUUAUGUAACACCCAAACAAUUCCUCAUCGGAUGGAAAUAGAGUUCAAAUUAGGAAUAUAAGAGGCCAGGCAUCCUAGCGAUAAUAACUGAAAUUAAGAUAUUUUGGGUCGAUGGUUUGGCCCAACAAAUAUUGCUAGCGGGAUUAUUAUUGCUAGCUGGUCAGAUCGUUACAUCUCAUUUGUAUUUUCUCUCCUUAACUUGUGAUUGUAGGCCCCAAUGUUCUAUCUUUUGAUGGAUGAGGAGUGGUUGGCAUUCAUUUAACUGGGAUCCACUUCUACCCUAAUUCUCUUGUUUAGUGUUUGGGAGGUGACCUCAUCAUCAUCAUGUCUUUCUCCAACUUUUCAAUUGAGUCAUCAUCUCUAGGGUUUUAAUCAUAAGGUUUUGUAUUGUAUUGUAUUGUAGGUUUUUGUAUUGCAUUAUUGAAUGUCAUGAUAUGAAAACCCUAACAAAUUCUUCAAAUGUUGAAUCAAAGUAGACAAAGUCUUAGAUGUUUGUAUUGAAUUUUAUAGAUGGAUAAAAAUUAGGGAAAAAACACAAUGUACAAAGACCUCCGAACUGCAGCGCUUUUGUAAACAGACGUUCGAACUUUUAAUUUUAGUCGUUAGAUUACCUAAAUUUUGUCUAAUAACAUUGAAAGUUUGUCCAAUAACUUAAUAGCACUCCCCCAUCCCAUAAACUUUUAAUUUUGGUUGUUAGAUUACCUAAACUUUGUCCAAUAAUUAAUUUUGGUUGUUAGAAUCCAUCUUCAUAUUUUAUUUUUUAUUUCUCUGGUAUUAUAACAAAAGAAAUAGUUUUUUUUUUUGUACAUUUUUUAGCCCAAAAUAACUUAUCUUUUAAAACUUAAAAAAAAAAGACAUCUAAAAUCCAAUUUCACAGAAGCAAGCAAAAAAAAUGCAAAUUAAAAAAAAAAAAAAAAAAAGUCAAGUGGGUCACAAGCAUUCUACUGAGCCGAGAGAGACAAUUCUCUAAUGAUGAAAAAAGGGAAUUUUUUUUUCCCUCAUUUCCCUGCUGAUAUUACAUUAAUUGGCCACUUACUAAUCCAAAGAAUUAUUACUGAUACAUCUGAAAACAAAAACAAAAAAACAAAAAAAACAAAAAAAAAUCUAUCCAACAGUACCUAGUUUUUUUUCUCUUUUUUUUUUUUCCUUUUUUUGUCAACUCCUAUGAAAAAUCUAGGGUUGACAAAGAGGAGGCUAAAAUGUGUUAUACUGCUACAGUUAUUCACCCUUUUUGUCUUCCCCCUCUAUUUUCCUUUCUCUGUAUUGUAAAUGUUGUGUGUUACAAAAACUGUACAGAAUCAAUGUCAGAAACAAACAGGUCACAACUAGCCUUUUCUCUGGCUGUCAGCUACCCUAGGGUUUCGUUCGACGACGAAAUGGUCGAUAAUCCGCACCGAGUUGACGGGGUCGGGACCCGAGGCCGCCUUCCACUUGCUCGGGAACCUUCGGAAGUGGCUCAGCUGCAAAGGUUGCUUCGGUUCCGCGUCCCAGUCGGGGUCUAACUUCCACUCUUUCGGUACCUGAUUCAAUGAAAGGAGUAUAAAAGUCGAGCUCGCGUGCAAGGAUAAUAUAAACACAAACCAUCAGAAAUAUAUUUAAAAUUUCCGGGUGUAAUGGGAAAAACCAUGAUAAAUAGGCUGAGGAAAAGGGCGAAAUCUCCGUAGUGGAUCGCUACGCAAGUUGGUGCUCGAGAUACCUUAGGUUAAACAAUGUAGCGAGAAAUUUAUCUAAGAUUUCGAAGUACUAUGAAUUGUUUAAGGGAUCGAUAGUGGCGUAGUCGAAAAUAAGAGUUAAAUGAAGGGAGGAAAAAAAAACAUGAAAUCCGUAGGACAACCCAAGUUAUAGUAAUGAUUUGAUAAUAUGUUGUAAGGUGGCCGCCCAGUUCAAAUCCUAAGGGGGUGUUUGGUUCCUCGGAAAAGCGUGGAAAACUGUAUUCCCAGAAAACACCCUUUUCCACAGUUUUUGUUUUUCAGAUUAAAAAAUUGGGAAAAGAAAACAGUAGUUUUCCAUGAAAUCUAGAGAAAGAUCUUUUUCUUGGAACGGAACCAAACAGACGGAAACCAGUUUUCCAGCCAGAGAAUUAUUUUUUGGGCCAUUUUCCGGAGAACCAAACAGCCCCUAAUCGAAAGCCAUGUACUCAGCAAGUGGAUAUUUGGUACUUGGUUUAUAAGAUUAUAUGCAUAAAUAAGGCGGGACUAAAAUCUAAAUAAUCUCUUUCUUCAGAUUAAGGGGUAAAAAAAAAGGCUAGAAAAAGAGAUUUAUUUCUUACUUUAUCGACUGCAAGGCUAAAAACCUCGAGGUCGCCAUUUUUAGUGAUAUGGAAGCGCGUGAAAGCCUUGUAAUUCGCGAUGCGGAGGGAGGAGAAGGCUUCAUCGAAAUGAACGUGGAACCAGUUGAUGCAGAUGUACAAAUAGCUUCCGAAAACAAGCGAUACGAUGGGAGUAGAGAAGACCCAGAAAUAGGUGAAAACAGAGGCAUAGUAAAUUAUGGCGCCGCCGCGAGGGAGUGAUUCGAUCCCUCUCUUGCAGAUUUGGCUUCUCGUUACAGCCAUAACCUGCAAGCGAAAGAAGCAUUUAUAAAAUAUUUGACAAGAAAACUUAUGUUGCGGCUUCUACGUGUAUAUAUCUGCAAAAAAAUGCACACAUCUAAAGCUGGGGAGUCAUACAAUUCAUGGGCUCAUAUUUGGAAGAGAUUAUAUGAAAAUUCGACAGAUAUUAAAAUGCUAAUGCGCAUGUGUAACCAUCUCUAAAGAAUAUGGCCAAAAUGUAAAAAUGACACCAAAAAAACUAUGCCGUGUUAAAGGGUCGUCACCUCGGGAAUGUCGAAUGCCGACAUGAGGUACUUAAUACAUGCAGGGUAGAGUCCGAACGUCCACUGCUCGAUCCGAGCCCUAAGGCCAGUUGGAUCCGGAAAGUGUUGGCUUUCCAUCGACCGAUACCAUUCAUAAAGAGUGUGAUAGCCUGAAAAUACAUACAGAUAUUAAAAUGCAGAGAUAUUAACAUAUACACUAACAAAUCUAAACAUUUACAUUAAUAUCGGAUUAACUGGUGGUUCCAAUACAAUAGCGCCUAAAAAAAAUUUUGCUUGUACAGUUGAAAUCAACCUUAAAUUGUAUGAUGGCAAGAAAUGAGCUAGAAAGAAAAGAAACAAACCUGAAGUCGCUAAUAGGUGAUUCCGGAUACAUAUCUCAAUACCCAAUUCCAGUAGCAGCAUCAAGAUUAGUGCUGAGGUCAGAUGCGCCACACCAUGCAGGACCCCAAUUAUAGCACGCUUUUUCCGCGAUAGUUUUGUGGGAACGAAGAAAAACGACGCCAUUAUCAAUACGAGAACACCAGCUAGAGAGACGUAAGAACGUUCUAGAAUGUAGAGGAAAGCGCCCCACAUCAUGCUAAAGAAGCCCUUGAGGCGGAUGGACCAACUAUCGUCAUGCAAUAUGUCGAAAAGAUCGCACUGAAUGAUAAAACACCCGAAAGUUAAAAGAGUCCUCAAAAUGUUAAUAUCCUCAUCAAUCUAGAAUCUUGACGUAGUACGACAUACGCACAAUAUAAAAUACAAAGAAUAAAACCAACUUUCUCAAUAACUUUAAUCUUAUCACGAAACUUGCAUACUUAAAAUUACAGGAGAACAAUUUAGAAAGCAUUAUAAUGCGUGUAAUGUGAAUAUAUAACUCAACUAGCUCUAAAGGUGUCUCACCUGUGGAAACAUAGAAAAGACCAGGACAAAGUAUAUAAUGCCGCCAAUGAUAUCAAAUUGCCAGUUUUUUCUUCGAAACUUCAAUAUGUUACCCAAUGCUAUCUGGAAAAGAAAAAUUUAUUAGUUGUAAAAAAGCUUAAAAAGAACGAUAUUCCAGGAUUUACAUAUAUGCCAUGCAAAAAAUGUAUAUUAUAUAACAUGUGAAGCUAAAUUUGACAAGCGAGAAAUCGAUAAAAGACCAAGAUGGGUCAACUAUGAUAAGUAAAAAUGAGAAGAAUUUAAAAAAAAGAAAAAUCAACCAUACCCUGCCAGAAUCCUCAAAAGAGGGAUAAGUAGCCUUGCUUUCGUAAGAAUUUCCAUAGAAUUUCUUGAAACCUCUGAACACAUGGGUCGGAUGCAAAAAGGCUCCGCCACAACCAUUAACAAGUAAAUGCUGGACGUGAACAGGUUCUCUUGAUGAUGAAACGCAAGCUUGCUGGACGUGAACAGGUUCUCUCGAUGAUGAAACGCAAGAAUGGCGCAUGUAAUGGUGCAAGUCCCCGGCCAUUCUAAGUUUGCAUCUUCCUUUAAGAUAAUCGCGUAUAAGAUAUGAGACAUUUUUUCCAGUAUCAUCACCCCAAUACCAAUCGAGAAGCCAAUUCGGUUCAUGGGUCAUAACAAUAACUGAAUCGUUUUCUCUGACCUGCAUGAAAUAAUUUUAUCUCCAUAAGGAUUGCAUAAGAAUGUUUAGUAAGAGGAUGUGCUCCGGAAGAGUCUCCUUCAAAUAUCAAACGAUUUUCUAUUUUGCCACCAUAAAAAAAUGAAGCCUAUAUAUUACCCUCUUAAACUAUAUGUAUAUAUUUUUAUCACUUUGCCUCCCUUUGUUAGGCAAUAUAUAUCUCUAUGCUUAUAUAUCAAUGGCAUAAAAUGAGAAGAAUAGUGAAUACAGUAUCAGGUAAUCUGCAUUUUACGAUCGCUAAAAGUAAUCCUCACCAGCCAACUACACAUACCUUAGUAUUUGGAACUUAGAAACCUUGAAGCUAUUGGUGUUCAGUGAUAAUGACAUAAAAAAGGGUCAAAGGCAUUUAGGGUAUGUUUGUUUCUCUUGAAGUGGGGUGCUCGAAGUGGAACUGGGAUGAAACAAGCAAGUUCCAUUAUUUGGUUCAUCUAGAACUCAUGAGAUCAAGCCGAUGUGCACCUCACUUCUGCACUUUUGAAUUGCUUUAAUAUUAGCCCGAAGUUGUGAGUUUGCUCGAACUCCUACCCCCAGAAAGUAGGGACUUAACGGAGCUCGUGUUUCGUGAUUGCCAAACAUGCCCUUAAUCAAACUAAUAUAGGUAUAUAUUCUUGUAACACCUCUUUUUUUUUUUAUUCCUUGCUAGUUUUCAUAUUUUUGUAGGCCAGUAAAAAAAAAUUCGUUAAGAAUCGUAAAAGAAAAUUGCAAAAUUAUCUGUUACUGAAAAAAAUAAUAAUAAUAAACCUUGUGUUGGCAUAGCUCCACGAAAAAUUUGAAUUGGUACACAUCAAUGUCACCGUGAAGAGCCUGGUCGAGACCAAAUACCCACCACCCUUUUGGGAGCUCCAAUGCAAAAUAACUCUUUUUCUGAGGCAUAAACCACCCACCCAACCAGCUUCUGUGGCAUAUGUACCUCAUAAAAGUGUGAAGCCCAUCAAACCAAUCUGCAGAAAACUAAGCAACUUAAUGACCAUGCAGUCCACAAUAUACAUUGAAAGAAAGAGGGGCGUAGUUUAAAAUUUGGUCGUAGAAUCCCAAUUUCAAUUGCAUCUUCAGAGUUCCAAUUUCAAUUAUUUAGUCUCUGAAGAUUGUUUUUAAGUAAAAUUAGGUCCUUCCAUUAUUUUUCCGUCUAAAAAGCCAUAACGUAAGCAUCAUGAACUCUAUAAAAGAUGCCAACAGUGGCGUAAAUAAAAUUGGAAGUUUGGAACUCAAAAGAUGCAAUUGAUAUGGCGACCAAACUUCCAGGACUAAAUUUGUAAUUAACCCAGAAACUAAAAAAAAAAAAAAAGAAAAAAAAAAGAAAAAAAAAGAUCGAAUACUAAGGCAAGAUCAACUGAUUUUUAGACCCACAAUACUACUAGAAAGGAAUUUUGUCCACGUGCAUCUAAAACGUAAUGAGGUUAUUUUACAUAAGAACAACGACGAACCGUGAUUUCCAGGAAUUAAGAAACACUGGGGCCCGCGAUAUCGUUUCAGCUCCGAGACCCCAAAUGGAAGCUCCGGUUUGUCCACCGCUAUAUGUUCAGCCUUGUACCACGGAGGAGGUUGGAAAGCAUAUUCAAAAGGACAGAAAAAGCGCCUCUCAUACGUAAAUGUAGAAGGAUUAGGGUACCUGUGUGGAGAUUUCAAAAACAUUUUAAACCAUACUUAAGAGUUAUUGCGUGCAUGAUAUCGUCCAUAAAGAUCCUAUUUAUGUAGGUCGAAACUUCGGGAUAUUAUUCUCGAAAAAAAAAAACACACGGUAGAGAUCAUUUAAUAUCAUCAAACUUCUGAGUCCAAAAUUCAAGUAUUUCAUUUCAUUAAUCAAUAAGCCAAAACUUCUCCUCUAAUUAUAAAAAUGGAAGCAUAAGAAAGGGAAAAAGGGGCCACAAUCUAAUUUAAUAUUAACCGACUUUUAUGUAAAAAGACAAAAAUUUCCUCGUAUCAAAUUAUAAGUCACUUUUUUCUGUUAAAUCAACAGGUUCUGUUUUCCCCAAGCUUAAGCUGGAAAAGAUAUAUAUAUAUAUAUAUAUAUAUAUAUAUAUAUAUAUAUAUAUAUAUAUAGGAUUGACCUCCUAUGUGUUUAAAAGUACCAAGCCAUUGGUGCUUGUAAGUUUUCGGCCCUUGGAUUAAGAGAUGUGCGGUUAGGAUGAUGUGGGCCCCCUAGGGUUGAGUGGGUGGUUGGUUGAAUAGUAUAAUCUAACGGAUGAAAAUGAUCAAAGGCAUAGAUCUAACGGUAAAAAAUUCACAAGCACCAAGUGCUUGGUGCUUUUACAAGCACCAUAACCGGACUCUAUAUAUAUAUAUAUAUAUAUAGAGAGAGAGAGAGAGAGAGAGAGAGAGAGAGAGAGUUUAGCAGCUGCAUCUAUAGUCAUUAAAGGUUGAAUAGGCCGAGGAGGCACUUAAUCUUUAGGAUAAAGGAAUGUUAGAUAAGAAUCUUACGCAAGGUCCCCUCCAAUAAGAAGCAAGUCUCCACGUGGGAGCUUUUGCACCGAGUCACCAUUUUUAAUCUGUAAUGAACGUUGUGCCAGUAAUCGGGCCACCGCAUAGGUAGAGUUUCCACCAUCGCCAGUAUCCGCAAUGAAAUCAAACCAAAGUUCGUCUCUGUUUUGAAGAUGAUCGUACAGUAGAUCGCUGUUUUUAGAUUCGUCAGGAACCUUGUUCAUAGCAGCCUGGUUGAUUUGGAUGGAAAAAUGGAAUCAAACAGAUUAUGAAAAAAGCAAAAGCAAAUGAGCAUGAUCACAGACCAUGAUAUAUUUACAUUUGCACCCCUGCGAAAUUAGUGUAACCAUGCAAAAUCUGAAUGUUCAUUACCUUUGAAAACUUAAUUUGUUACAUAUUUAUAACGUUGUACAUGCAAAAAUGCCCCUCUUCUAGAGAACUCUUCUGAUAGCACUAAACCAACUUCCCCCCAUAAAUUAGCCGACUCCCAAUUUAAUGUAAAGGUUUCUUUUGUUUUAAUAAGAAACUGCUCUUUCAAGGGUAUGUAAGAAAAUUCAGAUUUUUACAGGUGUGUAUGCGCAUAAAUAUAUAUACAUAUAUAGAUGAUUUUGCAGGGUAAAAAUUCUAUUUUGUUUAUAUUUAUUAGAUACCUGCAUCAUUCGCAUGUCAAAUCGACCAACAAAUAGAGUCACGGAUACCAUGAGAUCAAACACCGUCUUGAAUAAGUCAGUGGAAGUCCUAAAAUAUGAAAAGGAAAGGAAGCAGUGAAUUCCUAUUGUCGCCUUAAAAUGGAAAAAGAAAAAUAAGAAAAAUAAAUGUAGGCUUAGCCGAUAUUAGCAUACCCCGAAUACCAAGGUACCAUGUCCAAGAAAUCAGGUUUCAUUUGUUUCUUCAACUUCUCGUACUCUGAUAUUGUCAUAGGAUGAGUGAGAGCCCAUCUGUGACAUCGGAAAGGCAAAUAAAGGACAAUUAGAUAACAUAAACUAAAUCCAUUUGAGUAAUAAGCCAAAGAUUUUGCAACCUUUACAUAGAAAUUACGCUAAGAUGAAGGAAACCUCUUACAAAAUAUCGCUUUUUUUUUUUUUGUUUAACGUCGCAACCCAAAACAAAAACAAGAACAAAACCUAUAUAUAAUCCAUAAGUAUAAUUGUCAUUACUUUGCCUCUUUCCAUCAAUCUUCAUCAAGCAAUACAUAACAUAAAAUAAACUCAAAAUGAUGUACGCAUCAUCUUCAACCGUCUCCUCUACAUGAAAUAUUACGUAGUAAAAGAAAGUAGCAUUUAUGUUUAAGAGUUAUAGUGAAUUAACAUACCCAGUUGAUCGUUCGAUGACAUAAUUAGCGAUGUAGAGUCCGAUAAACGUUGCCCACAAUGAAUAUAAAGGUGAUAUUUCAUCUGAAAGGUGAGGACAUGAUCCAUUGCAAGCUAACUGUUGAAAACAAAUAACAAAAAUAAUAAACCCAGAAAUUACGAAAAGAAAAAGAUAUAUAUAAUAUCAUAAGAAAGCUGGAGAAAGUUCGGUAUACCUCCCCAUAGAUGACCCAUUUAGAAAAGAGCGGGUAGUCGCUAGCAGAACCAACCGGCGCAAACCAGGAAGAACAAAUUUGGUCCUUCCACUCGUGCAUUUUAAGGAACUUGGAUAUCCAUAUAUUUCUAUCUUGCUUGUUCCACAAAGGGAAAGAAAACCAAUUUGAGUUUCUUCUAUCAAAGUGCUUCUCUCUUGUGAUAGCUCGGUUACCGCAGUGGCUGUAAAAUACACAGCAUGCUAUACUUAUGACCUGCAUAAUCGCAGGCGUUACACACAGCAGAAAUAUUAGGUACAUAGCGCUUGGUUUAACCUUUUUAGGAGGUUUCAGUUUAGCCCACAACCAUUCGAUAAUCGAUACUUAUUAUCAGGUCACUAAACAUUGCACUCUAUGUGAUCUAAUCCUUGUUGUUUAAUCCCGUGGUUAAAUUGGAUUCGAAUGCUCACAAAAUCAACAUAUGAGAAGUCGAAUAGUUAGAUGAUGAUUACAUGGAUGUGUCUGUCCCAGUUAACAGAGAAAUGAAAUGAAACAGUAAAUAUUGCGAUGAAAUGGAAUAAUUAGGCACCUAAUUUAUUCAUAUAUAUCGAAAGGUUGUAGAACAAACUGAGAUCAAUUUACCCCGAAAAAGGUCACGAACCAACAUCAAUUUGUUGUGUGUUAAGACAACUUUAAGAACUUACUGCACAGUUUUGGAUGAUAGUGAGUAUCUCUGGUCUCUUUUCAGCCAUUCGCGAAACCAGGCCCAAGUACCAAAGCCCGAGAAAUAUAAUGUGGAAAACAAUAAGAAAAAGAAGCGAGGUGAUAUAAAUUGUGAUGAAGAGAGAAAGGUUCAUUCUCAAGUCGACUCCCAUCGACUGAAAACUCGGAAGAUGAUAUAAAGCUGCCAUGAAGAUCCAUGCAAUGUACCUGCAGAACAAAUGAGACUGACACAUUUACCUUGUUUUUGUCCAAUAAAUAUGCCCAUGUAUUAAAAAAAAUUGCCCCCUUUAAGAAACUUAUUCAGAUUCAAAACAGCAUUUCCCUGAAUUAGACGACUCCCGAAGUUUGUGGGUGCUUUUCUAAGAAACUGCACUUUCGAGGGGAUAAAUAGGAGCACCGGAAUAUAUAGUUUUACAUAUUAUUAGAAAAAGAAUAACGUACCAACGGCUGAAGUUAGAAUAACUUGGCUUGAUAGUCUUCCUAAUGAAAGGAGAAGAGAAGAAAUAAAAGAAACCGAUCAGGCAAAUGUACAUGGACCACCACUUGAUGUUUUUGUCCAUUUUUUGUAUGAGGGUGUGCAAAUUAUCCGAUGAAAUGAAAAAGAUCCAUCCUAUUAUAACCGCGGUCAUUGCAUGCCUCGAAUGCUCGUGAGGGUACGGAUAUUGGUGAGCCAAUAUCGUUCGAACUCUAUCCAUUUUGAAGGAUUCAAAUAUAGGACCUAUAGAUUGCUUUUCUGCGCUCAUGGAACUAAAAUUUAAAAACAAGCGUAAUUUAUCGCUGUUUUAACACCUGUGCCUCCACGAGAGAUAUGUUCCAAGGCGUAGUUUGGCUCUGCAUAGAAAGAAGCAAAAUCUUUAGUUUCAGUAUCCUAACCUGCUAAAAUUCAGAAACAUGGAUAACUUAACAAAAGUAGACAGGAAUUGUUGCAGGUUUCUUGGAUCGACAUCUCAGUUAACAAGUUACACUGCGAAUCUCAUAAUCACACUAACAAAAACAGGGAAAAAAAUGUCUCACUGAAACUUUUUUGUGUACCAUAAGAUUAUAUAUAUUGGAAUCUGUUGGAUAUAAAAGUAAAUAUACUGUAGAGAGAAGUUGUUGGGGGUUUCUAAUUCAAUGCAUUACUCAAACCACACUUCAUCAAAAACAAGCCCUAAGUAACCAAUAACCAAAAAAUUGGGAACCCAAACUUACAAUUAAGACUCAAAACCCCGGAAAUAGACAAAUCCCAAGCUCAAGUUUCCAACCAAAGGGGAUUUUAAGCAAAAGGAAUCACAUUGUUUUACGGUCUCGAUCCCACAAGCUCAAUUUUCCAACCAAAGUACAAAAUGAGAAAGAAAGGGGCUUCAAUCAAGACAAAUCCCAAGCACCCCGAACUUCCACUCUUCCACCAAAAAUAUCAUAACACAAUAUAAAAUCACACUUGCAUCACACUAUUAACUCAUCCAUUAAUGAUUUUUAUAUGUACAUAACCCAUUUUUUGUGCAAAACUAAUCACACACCAGAAUUGAACAAGCAAACCAAAUUCCAAUAUCACAUCGCUAAAGAGCACAUAUCCAUGAAUUCAAACACAUUCACAGCCAAAAUUGGUUGGUGGGUACAGAGAAUUUAUGAAAAUUUGCACCAAAAAAUGAUGGAGAAGAAGAAGAAGAAGAAGAAGAAGAGCAAAAUGUCUCAUAACAUCACACAAGCCCACACUCACAAUUCAAUGUUACAUUAAAUUUAAUCUCACAUAGCUAUUGACCACCACUCACCCAUGAAGAAAUUGCAGGUAAAAGAAAAAAAGAAAAAAAGAAAAACCCAACUUAGGGAAAGAUUUACACAAUUCAAUUGUGCUUGUUUGUGCAAAACUACAUCACAUACCCAAAAGACCAGAACCCACCAUCCAUAAUCACACACAGGAACAAGCAUACCAAAAUUCUAAUCACACAUCACAAAACACAUCCAGAGCCAAAAUGGGUUGUCGGGAAGAGAAAUUUAUGAACAAUUUAUGCAGGAAAAGGUCCAAAAAGGGGAACUUUCGAGAGGUUAAUAGAGGAGGAGGAAGAAGAAGAAGAAGAAGAUGUGGGUUCUUCAGGGAGAAUCUAUUCCCAACACACCCAAUAACCCUAAAAACUCCUACCAAAUUGUGUCAUAAACACCACACAAGGUCACACUAACAAUUAAAUGAUACAUCAAAUUUAACCUCAUACAACUACUCACCAUGAACACAAAACCCACAAUUCACAACAACACAUGGGAACAAGCAUAACCAAAUUGUAAUCACACAUUACAAAACACAUCCAGACCCAAAAUGGGUUGUUGAAUACAAAAUUUCUGAACAAUUUUUGGAGGAAUAGGAUCAAAAAAAUGGGAACUUUACCUGAAGAGGGCUUUAUAGAGGAAUAAAAGAGCAAGAAGAAGCAACUAAAUGAUACAUCAAAUUUAACCUUACACAACCAUUAAGAAAUCAGAAAAAAAAAAAAAGCCCACAAUUUGCAACUUAUGGGAACAAGCAUAACCAAAUUGUAAUCACACAUCACAAAACGCAUCCAGAUUGUUGGGUACAAAAAUUUCUGAACAAUUUUCGCAGGAAUAGGAUCAAAAAAAUGGGAACUUUACCUGAAGAAGCGAUUAAAUGAUACAUCAAAUUUAACCUUACACAGCUACUUACCAUGAACUCACCCAUUAAGAAAUCAGGGGAAAAAAAAAAAAAAACCAAAAUUCACAGCAACAAAUAGGACAAAUCCAGGGCCAAAAUGGGUCGCUGGGGACAGAGAAUUUAUGCAAUUUUUUUUGCCAAAAAAUGAUCAAAAAAAGAGGAAAAAGGAGAGGGCUUUACCUGAAGAGGGGUCCCAAAAGAGGAAUGAAACAAGGGAGAAGAGGAGGAGAAGGAGAAGAGUGCGAGGGUUUUUAUUCAGUGGGAAAAGAAAAUGAGAAAACGAGAAAAAUGAGAAAAAAAAGUUGAGAAAUUGGGGAUUCGUUUUCUCGGUUUCUGAUCAACAAUGGGAACAAAUAUGGAAAAUGGGGAAAGAGAGAAAAAAAAAAAAAAAAGUUAAAAAAAAAAAUUAUUAAAAAAAAGAAAAGAAAAAAAGCAUAUGUGGGGAAUCUUCUAAGGAAGUUCCUUGCGGGAAGAAAGCAAAGCAUCAUGCUUAAAAACAAAACAAAAAAAAAGAAAAAAAAAAAAAGAAAAUCAGAAUUUACAUGAAAAAGUAACCGACAGCACGUCACACCCACUUCUGCACCCAAAAGUCUACCUAAGACUUUUUAUUUUUAGAAUUAGGGCUUUCUGCAAAUAUCUGUAGAAAUUUUACAGAGAAUUUUUACUGUGUGCCUUCUUAUUUGGGACUCGAGAUUGUGGCUCUCGGCCUAUGUAUCACGGACACUUUUAUAAGACUCGCGUGUCUGUAUCUUGGACGCGGGUUUAAUGUCGAGUAGUGCAUACAAUUAAAAAAAUAUGCAUGCAUAUUUUGAUUUUACUUUUUUUAUACAUAUAUAAUGUAAGAUUAUAAAUAUUUUAACUUUUUAAUAAAUAUAUAUAAUUUUUUUGACAAUAUAUAAAUAUAUUAUAUAUGAAGGAAAAUUUUUUUCUUAAACUAUAUGAUCUGAAAAUUUUAUUAAUUUUCAUUCAUAUAAAAAAUAUAACAAUAUUUUGCUAAAACUAAUAUUAUAUAUAUAAUAAAUAUAUAUAUUAUUACAUUAAUAAUAUUAUUAUAUUUUAUUAACAUUAUUUGUAUUGUGUUCGUGUUCUAUUUUUUUGAAGGCUGCCGAGUAAUUGUGUCCAAAUUGUGUCGUGUCCUGUGUUACGUGUCAGUAUUCGUGACGUCUUAUCUUCGACAGUGUUCUACAAAGAUGCCUUAUAACUCAAGUUAAUUUGUAAAAUACUAGUCAUAUGUUUGCCCUAGUAAUAUAAUUGUGGCCAAGUAGAUUCAAUCUCCCAUAUGUGUGUAAAAAUGAGAGUCGAAUAAUAGGAUUAGAAUAUUCGAUCUUUUGGGUUAGAAUAAUAUAGGCUUGAGAGUGUUCUAGCAAGAUUUAAAAAAGAAAAAAAAAACACUAUUCGUGGGUGAAUAAGUGGGUGAUUUGAAUUUUACACAAUCUUUUUUCUACUUUUAAGUAUUUUGUAAUUUUUUUUUUUUAACUAACCUAUUAUAUUUUGCCAAUUUAGCACCCACCGCCAUGCCAAUAGAAUAGCUGAAGAAUAUUCCAGAUAUAAUUUGUAGGGAAAACUUCAAAAAAAAAAACCGUGGUUUCGCAGUUUCUCACUUUGCCCCCAUAUAGUUUAAAGUGUAUCGAUUUGGCCCAAUGUGGUUUCAUUUUUAUCUUUUUGGUAGCUUUUUCGUUAAUAUUUCAUUAAAUUAUAUAUAAAAAACUUCAGAUACCCAUCUAGAUUUAUCAAAUAUUCACUUUAGUACCCUUCAAUUUUAACUUUAUCACUGAUUUAAGAAAAAAAAAUAAUGAAAUUGAUAAGAAAAAGAGAAAAAAGAAACCACAGGGGGGCAAAUUGAUAUAUUUUAAACCACAGGGGGGCAAAGUGAGAAACUGCGAAACCACAUGGGGAGUUUUUUGAAGUUUUCCCUAAUUUAUAAGCGUCCCCUAAAAAAAAAAUUACAGAUGAUCCUAACAAAUUUAAAAAAUAUUUACAGAUGAUCCUAACAAAUUUAUCUUUACAUAUCUGACUCCCUCCUUGCCAUGCGAGUAAAAUAUUGGCAAUUUUAAAUUGAACAUAAUGAUUGAAUCACCAUAUUCAUAUUCACACUUUAGUCACUUUUUUUGACUUAUAGAUAAUAAAAAAUACAAAAAGUAAUACGGUGAUCCAAUCACAGUAUUUAAAUUCAUAUUUCAGUUUCUUUUUUUUACUUAACAAUAAAAAAAGAAAUUCGAUGAUUCAAUUGCUGUGUUUAAAUCACCGUGUUCAAUUUAAAAAUGACGCUCGCGUAACAAGAAAAGAGCUAUUUAUGUAAAUAUAAAUUUAUUAGGACCAUUUAUAAAACAAAAGUUUCGAAGGGCUUAAAUACAAAAAAAGCCCUUUACCAGCUCUUCUGCUUUAUUUUUCCAUAGUUUUGAUUUAGAUUGCCCAGUUGCUUGAAACCAGGUCAUUCAUUAAGGGGCUAUUUGAUUGCACGUAGUUAUAAUUGUGUUGUAAUUGUAACUGAAUUCAAAUUUAAUUUUUGAAAAAAAAAUAAAUUAUCUCGCAAGUGAAAUACUUUAUUCUAUCAAAUUAUAGAUGUCAAAACUUUUUCAGAAGCAAAAAAACAAAAAAUAUAUAUAUAGUAGGUCUUGUACGCUAUUAGGAGCACAGAGGCCUCUGUACUCCUAAGCCGUUUUCGAUGAUGGGACUUCCGAAUCGACGAUCGGCACUGUUAGAUUUGAUCUAGAAUAUAUGAACUAUUUAGAAAAUAAUUUCUGCAGAUUUUCGAUAUCAUUUACCUAGUGAUCGAAAGAAUUCGAGAUCAAUAAUUUUUAAUAAUUGAUGUAUGCCGUUUGCAAGUUUAACAGUAUAAAAGUAUUUAAAUCAGAUGAAAUUUUGAUAAAAAAUUCUUUAUGCCAUCUACAACAAGAUCAAUAUCUCUGAUCGAAAAUUUUUAGUGUAACAUCAUAACUUUUUAUGAGAUUUUUAUUUUUAGCCGUUGAUUUUGAGUCCUUUCGAUCACAAGUAAUGAUAUCGAAAAACCGAAAAAUUUAUUUUCUAGAUAGUUCAAAUACACUAGAUCAAGUCUAACAGAACUGAUCGUCAAUUCAGAAGUCCCACCCACGAGCACCUGCACCCGUUGGUGCCCCUCGCUGCCACGUUGAUCCCAACUGAGAAUUCAUAUUAUAUAUAUAUAUAUAUAUAUAUAUAUAUAUAUAGAUAAUAAAAAUAAAAUUUUAAUAUUUUAAUAAAAUUUAUAUUUAUAGCUUAUAGGAAGUUAUAUCAUGUUAAGCACAGUCAAUUUGCAUGACUAAAUUUAGUUGUUAAAAAAAUAAAAUAAUAGCUAGAAGCAUAUGAAAUACAUAAAUAAUAACUUAACGUAUCUGGCUUAAGAAAAUUUUGGUUGGCGUCUCAGACUCCAAUCUCCGCAUCAUACUUUUUAAUCUACGAAAGAAAUUUUGCCCACAACAGUGUCUACUAAAAAAAAUGAUUAUAAUAUGAAAAUAAAACAAAAAACAUCAAUCUUAAAAAAAUUAAUAUUUUUUUAGAGCACUUCUCUUACUCAUUCAAAUCUCAUACAUCUUCUUAAUCUUCAGCUGGUAGUUGCUCCGCGCGCCGAAUCAUUUCUGGAUUUCUAUUGUAACCUAUGAACAAACACCUCAUCUGCAUCACCAAACUGCGAUAUCUAAACCGAUACAGUCUUGCCAUCACAUCAACCACAGAAAUCCUUAUUCUUAAACAAUUUGAUUUACCAAGAAGUUCCUGUGAUUCUU
Molecule: long non-coding RNA, 72668 nt
Filed under: Ananas comosus (pineapple)
Lineage: Eukaryota; Viridiplantae; Streptophyta; Magnoliopsida; Poales; Bromeliaceae
Description: long non-coding RNA (ACOM_LNC020298)
Rfam family: tRNA (bases 24981-25053)
Source: RNAcentral